AGCAGCAUCAUUUAGAGAAACUGAACAAAAAGCGGAAGUGGAGAGAGUUCAACUUCAAAAAUCAAAAGAGUGAUGAGGUAACAUAAGAAAAUAAAAUUUAUCCAAAGAGCCUUCACCUUGAUCAUCAUUAGUCUUGGUAGUUCCCAAAGAGUCUCUAACAUCAACAUCUUUUUCCUACACAUAUUCAAAUAAACAAAUUAUAUCAACAUAUCCAAAAUAUUAAUUUUUAUACGAUUAGCCUCACCAUAUUAACAAUUUUUGAAAAGCAAUAGAACAUGUUUGAAAAUUUGGUUACAUACUAGACACUCACCUUUGAUGAAGUGACUAAUUCUAAAUGAGUUGAGGGUGUUAUUGUGUUGGCAUUUGUUAAUGCAGUUCCUUCUUCAACACACUGCAUAAAAAUUAAAAGGAAGUUUAAGUUGGUAGUAUAAUUCAAUUCCUAUAUUAAAAAGUCAAAGAAAACAUGCAAAAUAGGGGAUAUGCCUUUUGUUUAGAAGAAAUGUAUUGUAUAGGUGGCCCAUUUCUUGUUUCUGAAAUGGUAGACAUAGUUUCUGCAACAGUUUUUUCUGGCGUAUAACCCUCUUGAAUAUUUUGGUCCUCUGUUUCUUUCAAACACUGUGUAGCAGGAAAAUGUAAAUAAGCUGUAGCGUAUUUUUAAGAAGUACUUGAAAUAAAAUCUAUUUCUUUUUAGCUUUAUCUAUGCACUAUAAGGUGAUACUAUAUUUACAUUAUUUCCUUGAGAAGGUUUGGUGGUAGUAUCAAUUUCUCCAAGUGGAUGUUGUUGGUUCAUCAAACACUGUUGAUUCGUUGAUUCUUCAUUCACCAACUCCUGUAUUAAGAACAGAUGCAUUACUGAUAUGAAAGUAUUAAUAACAUUGAUUACCAAGUCGUAGACUAUUGAAUGAGUUUUAUGGAGAAGAAAUUUGAUAUGGCCUGCAAAUUACUUUUGAAUUUGUUGGUAAUAUUGCUACUGAUGGUAUCUCUAAAUCCGGAACAAUUUCAACAAAUUCAUGCUCUGCCUUUGGUGUUUGUUUCAUUUGUAUCUGCACAAAAAAAAAAACGAUGUUUGAUUCAAAGACAUUGUCAUGGUGAUUGUAUUCAGGAGUGAGUAGCUUAAGUAAAUAGAAUGGUAUUGACCUGUGAUGCCGCUUCAACUUCUUUAGUGGUUUGACCUGUGAGACGUUCUUCUGUUAAUUGCUGAACUGUACUCCAAAUGUAUCUACCUAUUUCUCGAUCUAUAGCAAAAUAUUAUUAGAUAGUAACUCAUAAGCAUAACAUUUCCUCAGGAAAAAAAAAAAAAAAGAAACUCAUAAGCAGAACAAUAAAACCAAAAUGUUAACUAGAUGUACAAUUAUUUACCUGUCUAUGCCUAAUAAUUAAAAUUUUACCACUUUCAUAAAGCUUCUAUAAGUAUAUAGGUAACUCUAUGUGCUCUUGCAUUUUAAAAAACACUUAUUCAUGCACAUUUCUACUUUAGAUAAUUUUUUAUAUUCUUCAACCAACUAGUUUAAUUUUUUAAAUAUUAAAAGACAUAUAAUUGGUUGGUAAAGAUAAAACAAAUGACUAUAUGACAUCUUUGACAAUGUCCGUAAUAUUUUUUGAAAAAACAAUACCUAGAGAGACAUAUAUAUUCUCUAUUAGUACUUGGUAAGAAAUGCACAGGGACUCCUAGUACUUGGUAAGAAAUGCCGAGGGAAAAAGUUAAAGAAUAAAUUCUCAAGAAAAUUUUGACAAAUGUAUCUAGAAAUUCGGUCAUUAAUCAAGUAAGUAUAUUUCACAUAAACAAUUAAAAUCACACACACUCAAACACAUAUAUAUAUAUUUCUAAAACUCAAACUCUCUACAUCUCGGUCAACUUGAGAAAGUAUAUAUUCAGAUAAAAAAUUAUAUACAUUUUUUUUCUUUUGUAAAGAACUUUGUGGUAGUGUGCUACUGUCUAUACACACAUUUAAAAAUUCGAAGAAUUACAAGAAAUAAACACAAUUAUCAAAAUAUUUUAUAAACAUGACAUGAUAUGUAGUUAAUUAAAACCAACAUGUAAUAAUGGUUUAAAAAAAUAUUGGGUAUAGUGUGUACCUGGUGUAAACAACAAAAGGAAUGACAUAUGCUGCCUCGCUACAGGAGUAGAAGUCAAAGAGAGUUUUUGACAAUUUUGUAUUAAACGAUUUUUUGCCUUCUGAAAUUGAAUUCCUUGGGUGAAGAAGAGGCUUGGUAGGUUGUCUAAUACUACAUAUUUUAGUUUUGGAAUCUCAACUUUCUGAUCUCCUUCACAUUUGAAUAUUUCCUCCAGCUCAUCUGCUUCUUUUAUCAUUAGCACCUCUAGCUCAGGAAACUCUUUACAUAUGGAGACCGGAAAGACAUAUUUCAACUUGUAGCACUUUAUUAUGAUGAGUGUUUUUAGCUUUGGGAACAUUGUCCUUGAGGUCAAGGAAUUCGACAUGUUUUCAUUAUGCAAGUCAUCUUUAAAGAUAUGCUUCAACUCUUUGCAUUCUUCUACUGUUAGAUAAAUCAGUUGUGAUAGACAUCUUUAAAUAGAAGUGGAGAAAACUACUUCCAAUAUUUCACAUCGCACGAUCAUUAUCUUUGUAAGGUUUUUUAGGACAAAAGAAUUUUUGGGUCUCACAAAAAAGUACAUCAUAUCAUGCAUAUCAGAUAACGUAAUCUGUUGCAUCUGUUGCAACCCUAAGUUCAUUGGUUGUCCAUCUAAUUCAUUGAGAUAAAAUAUAUUUUUUGCUUUUGAGUUAUCUACCCUGAGACUUUCCAAAGCAAUAAAAUGUUUCAUGCUCAAUUCCUACAAGUAUGUACACAAAAUAAAUUAGUUUUAUCAUAAUAACAUUUCCGAAAUUCAAUAAAAAUGACAUUUUUAAAAUUAAAUAAGAUCUCAUUUUAGAUUAUAUUCUUAAGUUACAGGAAAUUAAAGGGGAAAAUACACUUCCAACUUAUAAAAAAAUUAUACAUUGAAGAAUGAUUUGUCAAGUUAGUCAAAUAUUUUAUUGGUUUCAUUAUUUUGAUAUGAAAUGAUGUAAAAAAUGUAUAUCUAUUAUAAUAUAUUGAAAUAGACUUCCAUGUAAUAUUGUGACGCGUAGUUUAAUAUUGUACUAGUUCAUUCAAAUAUUGUCACCUCAACAAAAAUCAUGUGGUACAUCUAAAAGGUACAUCCUCCCUCUUCCAUGUUUCUUAUUAUUUCACUUUCAAUUUGCUUUAACACACAUUUUUUUUUUAUUAUUAUUAUUAUUAUUAUUAUUAUUAUUUAGCAUAUAAUCUUAUGUUCCUUAUUAUUAUUUAUUUGUCAUGAGUUACAAAUUAAAGUACAAUUAAUAUUAAUAUUAGUUAAUCAACACUAAUUGCUCCUACAUCAUUAUCGAUAACAAUUUUUCUAUGGUUUUAACUCCAAUUAAUAUAUUGGUCCUUCUAAACGUUUCUCAAGAAAUAUAUAAAUCACAAAAAUUUGUGAAAAUUAUUUUGUAUCAUAUUUUAUUUAUGUUUAUUUAGAAAUUAGAAGACAAUGACACAUACAUUUUGGUCUCUAUGCAACUUUUCUAUAAUAAUUUGUGUUAGAUUGAUUGUCGAUAAUUUUGUAAUUGAUUGCAUCUAAUGUGUGGUUCUUUGUAUGUGCAUUUUACGUGUUUUUAGAUCAGCAAAACGUGUGAGAAAUUAUAUAUUUUUUUGUAGUUUACAUCAUUGAGUUUUAAUUAUAUUUGUAAUUAUAAUAUAUUUUGACGUGUUUAUGGUCAAUUGUUGUGUGUAUAGACAUUUGUGCAAAUACAUCAAUGGUUUUUACCAAAUUGUGCUUAUAUUUCAUUAUAGAGUAUGUUAUGUGUUCACCAAUAUAUUUUUUAGAUUUACCUCGAAAUACAUUUUUAAAGUCAAUACACAUCUUAAAUUUCAGUGAUAUAAUGAAUAAGUUAUGGAAUAUUAUAUGAUGACAACUAUACUAUCUGUAUCACCUCAUCUCUAGAUACAUAGAGACAAAUGGUGUAACACAUACUUCUUUAAGUGCAACAAAUAACUCUCUAAACUUUGUCGAAUAAUAAAUACUUAAUGUCUAUAUAUCCCACAUUUUUUGUUUCUACAAUUGUUUAAUUUCCUCCAAUUGAAUAUUGCAUAGUAUUUUUAAUAAAAAAAUAGCUUAUUUUUAAAUAGAUCUAUAAAAUAUUUUAUAGUUAUCUUUUAAAGUAUUUAUACUCCAAUUUUUAUAUAUAAUUUUAUUAAAACAGUCCCACAAACUAGGAUGCUGCCAUCUCACUAUUAAUUUUGCUAUAUAAUUAGUGCCUUAUUAAAAAUAAAAUUGAAACUCCAAUAUUUACUUUGUCGGUAUAUUAUGUUUAAUAAUUUUUAUUAUUGCAUUGCGCCUCCUCCAAUUCUGAAUUUGUAACUGUUUAAAUUAUCAAUAAUUUUUUUCUUCUAAUAACCAUUUUCACACACCUUAUGCAAUUAACUUUCGGAUACCAAGUCCUUCAUUGCCACGAGAAAACCUUUCGGAUACGAAUGAGUUUUCACGAUCUCACUUUAUUAACUAAAAAAGAAACCUCUUUGAAGCCCAAUUAUUUUCAAAGAAGUAGAUGGAGUUGGAAAAAAAAAAUUGCACAAAUAAUUUUUAAGUGGUUUUAUGUAACAUAUUAUACCUAUUUGCUCAUGUUUCUUAAAACUUUGAUUGUUGUUAGUUAGAGUAUUGUUUUUGCAGACAUAUUUGAUCUCAUCAAUGACAUGAAAUUAUAGUGGCUCCCCAAAAGACAAAGAAGAUUGUUCAUAUUCAGCUUCAUAGUAGUGUUAUUAUUGUGUCUUAAGGAGAUUUAGAACUAUUUGUCGUUUAUAGAUAAAAGAAUAAUGUUUAAUAUUUAGAUUAAAAAAUUAUUUGUGGUUUUUUUACAGACAUGUUUUAUGUUGUCAAAUUUUUUAAAAAUACUACCUAUUUGAAGUUUCUACAUCUGUUUUACUUCUUCUGAAUCGUACAUACACGAGUUAUACACGAGUUGAUUGUGAAAAUUCUCAAGUUGUAUAGAAGUCUUAUACUCAAAACAUUGAAGUUUUGAUUUGUCAUUUUUUUUUCUAACAAUAUUUUGACAAUAAAUUUAGAUUUGUCCUUCCACUUUUUCUAAUAAUAUUUUUCAAAAAAUUAUUGUUUUUGGUUUUAUGAAUCCUAACUGCACAUUUGAUAGAGUGAUUUAUUUCUUGGUUGAACAUUAGAGAGAGUGGUGAAUGUUUAACAAUUACUAUUCUUUAAAAUAAUGUAGUGAUUAGAAAGAUGUAAAUUUUAACAUAUUAUUGAUUAACAUAUUAAUUUUAGUAGAUUAUUUGAUCCAUCAUAUACACCAUAAAUGAUUAAUGAUUAAUACACUAUUGACUAUAUACUUAUUAGUACAUUUUGAUGCGUAUAUAUUUUUUAUAUAAUACUUUUUUUUUCCUAUUUUCUCAAAAUCUUUAAUGCAUGAAAUGUGAUAUAAGACAUGAAAUUGUAAAUCGGUUUAUUAAACAUUUAAAUAUUUUUUUUAUCAGUUUUAAAUCUUAUUCAUUCAUUAAAAUAUAACUAAAAUUUUAACAUAAUAAUUCAAUGGUUAAAAAUUUAAUAUAUAAAUUAGUUGCAAUUCCAUUCUCUAGAACAUUCUACAUAUUCUCAAAUGUGUGUUUAUAAACUCAUAUAUAACUAUUACUCAAAUAAACUCGUAAAAAAUACUCUAUAAACAAAAUCAAAAAAUUAUAUUAUUUUUGAAAAUUUAAAAUCUUAUACACAAUAUACUAAUAUCUUAAAGUCUAUAUAUUCCGUAUAAUGCGCGGGUCAUAUUCUAAUUCAUUAUUAAAAUAGAAAAAUAAAUGUUUUCAUAAAAUAGUUAAACAGACACAGAAGUUGGAAAAAUAAACAUUUUCAACAGAGCCUUCGGAACAUAUUAUGCCACAAUCUAUUUCCUAGAGAUACAUUCUAAAGUAUCAACACACUACUCAAAAUAUAAGCAGAUGUGAGACUUAUAUCUUGCUUGGAACUAUUUUCAAACUACUAUUUUAAUGUUUCACCGACACCGCACAAACAUUGAUUCUAUUGAAACAAAUGUCACAUUCUCAUUUCAAGUUUUUUACACUAAGUAGUUACCAAUUGAAAUCCAAUAACAUUUUUCGAGUAAGAUUGAAAUCAUUGAUUAAUUUGGCAAACAAAAAAUAUAUAAGAAAAAAGGGAUACCUUCAUGAUUGUACUGUCUUGAGAUUUUGAAACCGAAUGAAUAAUGAAAUCACCGAUAGAUUAGAUAUCAACUUGGGAGCAUUUUUUUAGUUCAAGUUCUUUCAAAGAUGGAAACGUCGGGCGAUAUUGUUCGGGACACAUAGCAACUAAACUUGGCAGAUUGCAGAGAUUGAGAUAUUGCAAUGGCGGAAGAUGAAGGUGAAUCUCAGUGUGGUUUUGAUCGUCAUUAGUGUAGGGUCCAAAUAUGUAUUCCAACUGCAUGCAGUCUCCAACGUAGAGCCUUUUCAAUGUAGGGAAGACAUUGCCCCAAUUAUUGCCACUACUGUCAUGAUCUCCAAUGUCUAUCACUAUGUGCUUCAAUUCAUUACAAUUCGUAAUUUCCAAAGAUUCCAGCAUUCUUGGAGCAAUAGACAAGAUAAACACCGAUUUUAUCUUCAAAAAAUGAGACAGCACAAUCUCUCUAAUAUUGCACAUGAUAUCUAGUUGUAUCGGAAGACAUUGAGCACGUUCCCAUAUUUGAAGAUUGUGUGAAUUUGAUACCUGUAACGUAAUCCCAAUGUAAAGGAACUAAAAAUCAAACUAAACAUUCCUCUAGUGUGCAUACAACUUAUGAAAAUGCAAAAACAUAUAAGCUAUAACGUUUCUUUUAUAUGUCCUAAAGAUUGGCUUACAUUAUCUAUAAUAAAUUUAGUGCAUCGAAGUUUUUGAAAUACGUCAAAUAAUAUUCAACUUCUAAUAGCAAUCUUCAAGUUUGGGAUGUUAAAUAUGCACAAAACUUUCAAAUAAUAUACAACAUACACAUUAAAAAGAUAAAGUAUCAAAAUAUAACAGAAAAAUGUGAGAGGUUACUGUUAGAAUAUUAAAAAAUAUCUUAUAAUAUCUUUUAUAUUAUAUUAGAGUAUCUUAAAUUAUUUCUUAGGAUUAAUUUAUAAUUAUAGAGAUAUCUUAGAAUAUCUCUUAUUAUUAUUAUGAUUUAUUCUUAAUUUAGGAUUUAGUCUAUGUUUCUCUAUAAAUAGAGAUUAGUAUUGAGUCUAUUGUAAUCAAGUUAGCAUUAAGCUAUUAUCAAUAAUAUUUAAACCCUUAUUAUUUUCUCUUCUCCUUUUCUCUAAAAUCUCACACUUUCAACAUGGUAUCUAGAGCCUAUUUCGAUCCUCCUUGAACGAUCUCGCCUCUAUUCCGCUGUCGAGUUCCCAACAAUUAGGGAAUAUAAUUAUAGUUUCUCUUUUCUAACAUUCCAAUAUUCAGUGAGAUUUUUUAGUAAAGCGUGUCCCAAUUCUGCUUUACCCCUUCUUUGUAGCUUUUCGUUUAUUUUCAGCAGAUCAGUCGCAGCACUGUUCAUCGCGCGGUACUGUUCACUGCGCAAAAAAAAAAAAUUUAUUAUUAUUAUUAGGGUUCUAUAAACCUUUCCACAACCCAUUAGGGUUUGGCGCUCCAACCAACCGAGCUAAGAGCACCGAGAGGUUUAUCUCUCUGGCCAAAACCCUUAAACAGUCUAGCCAAAACCCUAAUAUUUAGCCUACCUCUCAUUGGCCACUCCACCUUCCAAAAAAAAAAAAUGACUUCUUCCCGUGGAAGAUCGGUGAUGGAAACACCAUUCCGAUUGAAGGAUCGUGUGUUGAAACGACCCAGUGAUCAUUCGGAGUUAUUUGAAGUUAAGGCUCGGAGUGGUAAUGAGAUGAAGAAGACAUUGAAUUGGUGGGACUUUGUGGCAUUUAUAGCAGCUGGAAAUAUCCUUCUUGAGUAUGUUAUAGGAAAUGCAGCGGUAGCUCGAUCAUGGACAUCUUAUUUUGCCACACUCUGCAACAGAGCUCCAGAAGACUUUCGUAUAAUAGUCCAUAGCAUGAACCCUGACUAUGGCCAUCUUGACCCCAUUGCUGUUGGUGCCCUCAUUGCCAUCACUGCCCUUGCUGUCUACAACACCAAAGGCUCUUCUAUUUUCAACUACGUUGCUACUAUCUUUCACAUGUUUGUCAUUGUCUUCAUUAUUAUUGCUGGUCUCAUCAAAGCCAAACCCGAAAACUACUCUCCAUUUACUCCUUUUGGUGUUCACGGUAUGAUUGAUGCUUCUGCUGUUCUUUUCUUUGCUUAUGUUGGCUUUGAUGUUGUUUCAACUAUGGCUGAGGAAACCAAGAAUCCUGGCAGAGACAUUCCUAAUGGUCUUGUUGGAUCUACGUUGAUUACCACCAUAUUAUAUUGCCUACUAGCUACAACACUUUGUCUCAUGCAGAAUUAUAAAGAUAUAGAUGUUAAUGCACCUUUUUCUGUUGCUUUUAGUGCUGUUGGAAUGGAUUGGGCUAAGUACAUUGUUUCAUUAGGUGCCUUGAAAGGAAUGACAAUUGUAUUGUUGGUUGGUGCACAUUGCACGUACUCACAUGAUGCCACCUUGGUUUGCUCUUGUUGAUCAUAGAACUGGGACACCUAUGAAUGCUACUAUCUCAAUGCUUGCAGCUUCUGGUGUUGUUGCUUUUUUCACUGAUCUUGCUAUUCUCUCUAACCUUUUGUCAAUUUCCACCUUAUUUAUAUUUUCCCUUGUGGCCUUAGCACUUUUAGUAAGGCGUUAUUAUUCAAGUGGAGUAACUACAAAAGGAGAUCAACGCAAUUUCAUUGUGGGUCUUGUGUUGAUUAUUGGCUCUUCAAUUGGAAUUUCAGCUUAUUGGAAUAAUAGUACUGAUGGCUGGAUUGGUUAUUUAGUUUUUGUUCCACUGUGGAUUUUAGGGACGGGUGGUAUUUGGCUUUUUGUACCAAUGGCAAGGAAGCCUACAAUUUGGGGAGUUCCUUUGGUUCCUUGGCUACCUUCUUUGUCUAUUGCUAUUAACAUAUUUCUUUUUGGCUCUAUUGAUAAAGAUUCAUAUAUAAGAUUUGCAAUUCAAUUGAUGGGAUUCUUCUUGGUGCACGAUUAUUCUCUCUUCGAUGGUUCCAGAUCUGCCCUUACUCUCCAAUUUUGAUCAGCGAAAAUAUGUGUCAUUGUUCAAACAGCCAUUAUCUCUCCUGUUUUGGACGCAUUUUCUUAUUACGUUGAUUGAUCAUGACUUAUGCAUCCCUGAGUUGCCUCUCCAUUAUUAUUGGUUUGAAGCUUCCAAAUGCAGUUUUUUAGAAGAACGGAGCUUGCUUUUUUCAAUUGCCUUCCAUGAAUUUCUCUCAGGCUGAUGAUUAAUCAGACUAUCUGGCUAGGCUAUAUUUAUAGCAAUUCUCUCCGACUUCGCAUGCAUCCCUGAGUUGCCUCUCCAUUAUUAUUGGUUUGAAGCUUCCAAAUGCAGUUUUUUAGAAGAACGGAGCUUGCUUUUUUCAAUUGCCUUCCAUGAAUUUCUCUCAGGCUGAUGAUUAAUCAGACUAUCUGGCUAGGCUAUAUUUAUAGCAAUUCUUUCUGACUUCACAUGCAUCCCUGAGUUGCCUCUCCAUUAUUAUUGGUUUGAAGCUUCCAAAUGCAGUUUUUUAGAAGAACGGAGCUUGCUUUUUUCAAUUGCCUUCCAUGAAUUUCUCUCAGGCUGAUGAUUAAUCAGACUAUCUGGCUAGGCUAUAUUUAUAGCAAUUCUCUCCGACUUCGCAUGCAUCUCUGAGUUGCCUCUCCAUAUUUUUUAUUAUUUUGUGGAGCAAAAUAUUUUCUUGUAGCAAGCUAAAGCUUAGUAAGGUUUAGCUUGAGGGGGAGUGUUAGAAUAUUAAAAAAUAUCUUAUAAUAUCUUUUAUAUUAUAUUAGAGUAUCUUAAAUUAUUUCUUAGGAUCAAUUUAUAAUUAUAGAGAUAUCUUAGAAUAGAGAUUUAGUCUAUGUUUCUCUAUAAAUAGAGAUUAGUAUUGAGUCUAUUGUAAUCAAGUUAGCAUUAAGCUAUUAUCAAUAAUAUUCAAACCCUUAUUAUUUUCUCUUCUCCUUUUCUCUAAAAUCUCACACUUUCAACAGUUACCGAUGCGAUUGAGUAGUCGUGUGGUUGAUCCCCAGAAACUAAUGGAAUUCUAGUUGUUGACGAACUCCCAUAUUUAUCACCAUGACAACGUAGAUAAGUCCAAGAGAAGCUAUUGCAUUUGAUAGGGUCCGAUUGUAUUUGUUCCUUGAAACCAUCUCCGGAAGUAGAAUAUGACUCACUCACAGGCGAAGACAUGGAAUCCUGGCAUUUUGGAAAAAUGUCUAUGAAAUUUGGUAAUUGACAGAGCUGCAUUCUUUGUAGUGACUUGAGUUCAACAUGUUGGUAUUGGCUAAAUAUGUAUUUCAGCUCAUCACAUUUUCUUAUUAAGAUAGCUUCUAGUACUGGAAAAUCUUGAGAAGAAAGGAAGGGAAGUAUCGAUUCUAAUCGGUGACAUCCCUCAAUAUCAAGAACUUUUAGUUUUGGAAAAAUCGAGUCAUGCCUCUUGUUAUCAUUAUCACCAUCCUCUAUUUCGUCUCUUGAUUCCUCCUCUCUUUUAAUAUCUAUUAUGUUUUUCAGUUCCUCACAAUCAGCUAUUUGCAAUUUCUCUAGCUGCACCAGAUUCCAAGACAUCAAUGGAAAUAGGGAAACCAACAUUGGGCAUUUCUCCAGUAUCAAGGUCUUCAGAUUGCAGAAAUUUAGCUUGCAAUGAAACAAUCUUUUAAAUUUUUUACACUGCUUCAUUGAUAGCAUCUCUAAAUUCUUCAAAGAGUCAAAGGAUAAGGAACCAUUGAUUAGUUCUUCCAAAUUUUCCAUCUUAUCCAAUUCUAGUACAACCAACUUGGACAAAAGACUUGGUACUUGAGAACCAAUAGAGUCAAUGAGACACUGUAACUGUGAAAUACAACUCAAGCGAAGCUCAACAAGAUCAUCCAUACCUUGACCUAUAGGAACAAUCUCAGGCAUGAGAUUUCUCCAUCCCCUCUUAAUUCCUAUUAGUCGAAGAAACUCUGUUGUUCGCAUGAAAUACUUGAACGUUGCUUCUGAAAAAACAGAUGCAUCAUCACUAGCACAAAAACUCAAAUACGUUGAUUGUGAAUAAUUCAUUAUAUCCCAGUUGUUACAAAUAUGAUACCUUUGCAACUCGGGUAUGGCUAUUUCUCGACAAAAACCGUUAAAACUCUCUAUGAAAUACAACUCUUCAAGUGAUGAGCAUUUUUCAAUGACUUCAAAUGGAUUAUUCCUUCGAAUUUCACAAUUAUCCAAGUUCAACAAUUUAAAUUUCCCCAAUUUUGUAAUUUCGAAUGGCAAUUCAUUGAUUGUGCAGGACACCAAAUCAAGAGUCUCAAGACUUUGCAGCUUUCCCAAAACAGAGAUGUCACCUAAAUCCACUUUAUCAACCAACAAAGAUCGAAUAUUCGUCAAUGACUGAAUUGAUUGUGGUAAUGAUAGAGGUUGUUUUUCAUUACCUGUAAAGUAUAAAAUUCGAAGCUUGACAAUAUUUUUAAAGAAAGAAUUUGGGACUUCCAUACAUUUUUGGCUUUCAUCUCUAUCUAUAUCGGCAAUUAGAAUCUCAAGUUUUGAACACUCAAAUUUACAAGAAAACAAAUCCAUGUCCUUCCCUUCACAUAAUAAAUAUUUAAUAUUUAUUUCUUUUUGAACCAAUAACUUUUGAUCUUUGAUAGAUAAAUUUACACCCUGAAUCUCUUUGUUUGCUAUCCAUUGAGCCGCAUCACGAACUAAAUCAUGCAUUUUUACAUGUCUUUCACCAACAUCCAACAACAAACAAGAAUCUAUGAGUUUAUUUUUGGCAACAACUACUUGGUUUCGAGUAUCAUCGUAGCUGCCAUAAUCUUCCCCAAAAAGGCCCGUUCCAAUGCCAAGUCUAGUUAGAAUUUCAACAGAAAUUUCUUUAUCUUCUGGGAAUAUAGAAGAUAAGAGGAACAAUCGCUUGGCUUUUUCAUCCUUCAUAUAAUCAUAGCUAAACUUCAAACAUUUAUAAAUUCCAUCCAUAUCUUCAUCAACACCAUGCAUCACUUGCAUUCCAGCAUUGAAAAAUAUGCAAUCAGGACAGAAUCCAAAAAAACAUGUUUGUUUUGUUUUAUGUCCUCUUGAAUGAGCUUUUCAACUUCCUCUUCCCAGAAACGAACAUUGGCUCGAAUGUCUUCAUCUCUUCCUGUUGCCACUUUAGCACGUUGCUCCAAAGUUUUUCUUUCUACUUCCAACCUAGAUUUUUCUUCUUCGAAUUCCUUAGCAAUGCAUGUGAAGCAAAAUACAUGACGUGAUUCUGCUAUUACCCCAUUUAUCAAUUUCUCCACAUAUGUCUUCGCCAAAUCAAUCAAGCAACUCACCAUCUAAAUCAAUUUCAAUAGAGCAAAGUUAGCCAUUAAUGUUAAACAAAGCUUCAAUUUGACAUUAUUUAGUUUUGACUUGAAGUUCAGCGACAAACAAAUAUAUAAUGAAAGGUAUGAUGACCAAAACAAGUUGUUUAAUUAUAAAAAAAGUAGUUUAAUUAUAGAUGUAGUUAUUUAUGUUGGUUUUUUCUAUUUUGGUAGUUUUGCGGUCAGUUAAAUAGUUAGUUACUAUGCUUGAUCUCAAGCACACAUAUAUACUUUAUUGUGUAAUGUAUAUGAAAAUGGUUGAUUGGUAGUAAAUCUGAUUCUCUGAACACAAUGUUCAUAUUCCUUCUGUACAUGAAGAUUUUCUACAUUCACAGACUUAGUCUGAAAAUUUGAACUUGAUGACACUUUUCAUCAAAGAAAUUUUUUAGUUUACUCAUAAAUCUAUUGGAGAAAGAUCAAGCAAACUUUCUAGUCAAUCUUUUUGUUUAAGAUAUUUCUAACAUAUUUACAAAUAACCACUGCAUCUUUGAAAACGGUAAACAAGCAACUUAUGACAAAUGAUCGUGUAGCCAGGAGCAGUGCAGAUUGAGAAUGUAAAUCAUUUACAGACAGAAAAACUGAAAAUGUAAACAGAAUAAAGGUAACCAACCAUGAAUAUGUUUUUUACCUUGUUUUCCAACAGAUUUACAAAUAACCACUUUCAGCACAUGCUCAAGUCUUGUGAACAAUUUUCUCUAUUUCUCCAAUCUGCUGAGAGAAUAAAGUAAUGUUCAAUGCAAUUGAAGUUCUGCAGUAAACAAAAGCAGCAGAGACUAAACAUUUCUACGAAAACAGUGACAAAGAAGAAGAUGAGUGAAAUUAUGAAGAAUCAACCAUCAGUCACGCUGGUGGUGGCUUGAUAACAACUCCACCGUUAGAAGAUCAGCAAUUGAAUGCGGAAAUUGAAUUCGAAAUUGAGUAAUUAGUAGGUUGGUCUUGUUUUAUUUCAAACACAUGAAAUUUUAAACCCUUGUAAUAAGGGCAUAACAUAUGAAUGACCCUCUUUUACAGAUCAUUCUUUGUCCCAAGUAGACCCAUAAUAUUUUUAUGUGUAUCAAUGAUGUUGACUGUGCAACUUUUUAUUUUUAAAAACUAAAUAACCUUAGGGUUUGAAGAACUGAAAAAUGCAGAACCAGUAAAUGUCAUAAGUUUUCUUUGUCUCUUCACACUCUGCAAUGGCCAUGACUUCUUCAUUCUCCAACAUGUUAUUUCUCUCUAUCCACCCAAAAAAGAUUACUCUUCUUCUACUCUUUCACUACAACCAACUCUUACCAUCAUUUUUCACCAUCCACAUUCUCAUUCCAACCUAUUCACUUCCUCAAGUGCUCCCAUUUUCACACCUCAAACAACAACUGCCAUUUAUGCAACCGAAAACGACGGAGGUGGAGGUGAAGACGAUAAUGGUGAUGGUGAAUCUGAGGAUAGGGAUUGAAACAGAGAAAAAGCGUUGAUUGAAGUACCUUCCCCAAAAUCUCAUCGUACGAGAUCGAGACAGAGAUAGAUCUGAGUUUUUUAGUAAAGGUUUGGUGAUGAAUUUGGGUGGAAGAAACAGAUGAUGAUGCAUCUGAGAUUAUACCAAUUGUAAUGAAGUUAAUGGAAGAAACAGAUAAACUCGGAAAAGGGAAUAAAGCACAGAAGAAUGAACUCAAGCACAAAAAAUUUAAUAAAAGGAAACUAUGAGAAUGUUUUUUUACCUGAUUUUGAGUACUUUCAGUGCAUACCAGCUCAAGUUGUAUGAACAAUCUUCCCCUUUCUUCAAUCUGCAGUAUCUAGCAUCAAGAGAAUAAGGUAAUGAUCAUUGCAAUUCAAGUUCUGCAGAAAACAAAAGCAGUAGAGACUACAGCAGCUGUUAUCCUUUUUCUUUUUUGGUUUCUUGCUACUGUAUAAAGGUUCAAAGCAUUAUUUAAAGGGUUGUUAUUUUAACAGCUAGCUUGGAAAUAUUUAAAGGUUCAAUUAUUGAUCCAUAAAGCCUAUACUCAACAUGCAAAUACCGAAAUUGUUAGACUGAACAUCAUGUCCCGAGUUCAAAUCCGAAAUCUCGCAGUUGAAUGCAAAUUUCUUUACCAUUUCAUAGGUUCAAUAAUUUGUCUCACUCUCAAGUUCGUAUUCGUAAUGCACUCAUUUCAAAGUGUAAAGAAAACCAAUGAACAUGAUUUGCCGUGAAAGUUAGUAUAAAUAAUCAUUUUUAUUAACAAGUGUACACAUUUUAAAUGAUAGAUAUAGAGAACAAAACUGUAGUGGGGAAAUUAAAAUAUUUGGUAGCACAGGGAUCUAUAUAGUGAAGAAAUUAAAAAAUAAUAAUAGUAUUGUCCUUUCCUAUUUGAAACCAUGAUUCUCCUAAGAUGGUUUGGGGAGGAAGAUAGGAAUUGGUUCACACUACACACACAGUUACUAGUUAGUUCCAAUUAAUAACACGCUAUAAAUGUGAACGGUGAUGAUCGAAUCCAAUCCAAUCCAACGGCAACUGUAUAUUUUGGAAGAAUGAAGAAUACCUUGUUGGAUUUGAAUUGAUUUGGGAGAUUGCAGAUUUCGGCGUCCAUGAAAUCAACAGUUUGAGCGAUCAACAGAAGCUCCAUUGCCAUUGCCAUCUGAUUUCGAGCUACUACUUCUAUUUCUCUUUCAAUUCAAAUAACGGCUUUUACUUAUUUUGCCAAAUCGAAGCACACAAAUUAACUAAUUCACUCAUUUUUCUCUCCAUUAAAUCUACAUCUUUAUUUAAAAGAGGUUUAUACUCUAAAGGACUCAAUUUACCACCGUUCUCCAUUACAUUAACCAAAUAUGUAUUUGUCAUUUGGUUAUUCUAUUAAUUUUUAUAUUUAUUGUAAACAAAAAAAAUUGAAUAGUGAGAUAUUAGUACUUCUAAAAUAGUAAACUUCAUCCAUACUCAUGCCAUAUUAGUGGUACUUAUUUUUUUAUUGCAAAUAAAAAUAGUGAUUUUCUUAUAUAAUAACAUAAAUCAUAAUUUUUGUGUAUUUGAAUUAAAAUAUUUUUCUACAUUUUAAAUUUUUAUUGUAAUUUUAUAUCGUGAACUAAAUUAAAUCUCUUAAUUAAAUUAUAUAAAAAAAAUAUAUAUAUUUUCCAUUUGAUGUACUUAUACUUUUAUUUUAAAUAUUGUAUCUAUAUCAAUACUUGGUAUUAAUAUUAUAUUCAUAUUCAUGCAUUCUAUAUUUUGAGAUGUUCUUUUUCUUCCUCUUUUUUCGACAUUACAUUUAUCCACUUUUAUUAAAAUAAUUUUAAACUAUCUCUAAAAACUCUCACAUUUUAAACUAUCUCUAAAAACUCUCACAAUAGUCGUAAAAAACUAAAUAAAUAAACUUCCAGAUUCAUUUAAUUGUUUUUUCAUUCAAUUUCGACCUUCAUUUUUUUUAUUAUUCUUUCAUGCAUUCCAUUUUUUUUUCCUUUCUUGCAUCAUUCUAUCUUUUUUUUUUUUCCUUCUUUAUCCCAUUAUCUCAUCUUUUUUUUUCCUUCAUUUUUUCUCACUAUUUUCUUAACUUCAACCAAUUUCAUCACUUUUUCCUCUUUCUCUAACUCUUUUCACUUCAAUACGAUCAUUUAUAUCUUAGACUUGUGACUAUAAAUGACUUUAAGAAAAUAAAUAUUUCAAAUUUUUUUUUUUUAUAAAUUAAAUACAUUUUUACCACUUAAAAAUUUUAAAAUUUCGUUUUAAUUUGAAACUAUGAUUUUCGUUACUUUGAUCUUAAAUUUAUGACAUUUAAAAAUUUAUAUUUAAUUCAUCAUAAAUUAAAAAAAAAAUUGUAGAGGAACAUUUUUAAAUGCUCUUUAACCUGCAUGCAAAAAUAAUUUAAAAUUUUAAAAUUUGAAUCAUAUAUAUAUUCUAGUAGGGAUGAAAAUGGCUGGCAAGAUAAUUUUAUAGGGACUAUUGAUAUAAUUUUUUUAAAAGAACUAAAAAUGAAAUUUUAAAAUGUGAUGAAGAUAAAAAACUUAUGUAACCCUUUUAUUUUAUAAACAUCUAGUCCAUUUUUUUCAUAACUAUGAACUUCAUAUUUAUUUUUAUGCUUUUGUUUUUCCGUUCAUUUUUCCAAAUAAAAAACAAAUAUAUACUAUAAGUUUGAACUAACAUAUAUUGAAAAAAAAUUCAAUGAUAAAAAUUUCAAAUAAUUAUCAUGUAUGGGACAAUUAUUAUAUAUAAGAUAAAUUGUUGUUAUUGAAAUUGGACUAUCAUAUACAAGAAAUUUUUUCAUUAAUAACAAUUUCAAAAUUACUAUAAUAUCCAGAAAAGUUUGUUAUUGGUCAGAUUGAACAUUUAAUAAAUUUUAUCUCUGAAAUUUUGCUUAAAUUUUAUCUGCUACACUUUAAUUUAAAUAUUUAACAGAUAAUAAAAUAAAUUAUGCAUGCAAUCAUAUUUUACAAGUAUUUGUUUCUCAUUGCUUCUAAUUUUCAAAACAUAUUCACAAUUUUUAUAAGUUUAUAUACUAUUCUUUUGAGUCACAUCAAAAAAUAAAUAAUUUUGACCUUAUAUAAAUCAGCAAUAAAAUUGCGGACUCGUGCAAAGUGCAAACCCACAGAUAAUUUGCUAGUAGCUUGAGGUAAAUCAUCAAUGGGUGUUGUCUAAACUUUAAAAUCUUUUCAAAAUUUGACUAAGAUACCAUCCACACAAAACAUUCUAUUGGAUUUGUAAUUAAAAUUGAUCUGCAAAGUUGCAUCACAAUAUAUUAUUGACAUGUUAUAUAAAUUUACUAAUUACACCUUUUUCUUCAAUCAAUUACACCCACUCGCAAAAUCAACAAUUUAUCCUUAUAAGUAAAUCAAACUAGAUUAAGAAUUGGGCAUUGCACAGAUAAACAUAUAAUUUCUUAAAUAUUUUAUAAUACUAGGCAUAUAAUUUAAGUAAAAUAUUACGAUUUUGUUCUUAAAAAAAAUGUACCAGUGGGUUAAAACGUGUAUAUAUUAUUUAUAAAUUAUAAUUUUGAUGUAUUGAAACAAAUUUCAUAUAAUGUAAACACUAUUUAAAAAAUAUAUGUUUGAGAUAACUUUUUUUUUAGUACCAAAACAAUUUACUAUUUUGUACGAAAAAAAAUAAUUUCUUAUUUGAAAAAAGUUAAAAAUAUAUUUUAGUAUAUAACCAUAUAAAAUAAAUUCAAUAUUUUGGACAACAUACAAAUUUUUCUCUAAGUCCAUACUAACAAUAAUAUAAUAAGAAGAAAUAGAGAAAGACACAUAAAUCUAAUUUAAAUAAUUGUAAAAAUUAAAAAUAUGGGAUAGGUCUAUAUCAUAGACAUGAAGUAUUUAUUAUUUUUCAUCUGAUGAAAUCUUAAAAAGUUAAGUGUUACAUUCUUUGACUCGAUGUGUCUAAAGAUGAGGUGAGAAAGAUAGUGUAGUUGUCAUCAUAUAAUAUUAUAUAACUUAUUCAUAUUAUCACUAAAAUUUAAUAGGUAUGUAUUGGUGAUAUAAAUUUAUUUCAAGUUUCAACAUAUAUCCGACAAAUACAUUGGAUGACACAUAAUAUACUAUAUAAUAAAAUAUAAGUACAAUUUGGACAAAAAAGGGAUGUAUUAGGAUCAAAUAUCAACAGAAACAAUUGACCACAAAUAAAUCAAAUCAUACAAUUAAAAUUAAAAUUCAAAGAUGUAAACUAAAAAGAAUAUAAAAACUCUCACUUUUUGUUUAUCUAAAAGGAAUUUUUUUGAAAGCAUGUAAAUAAGCAUAGAAUGAGUUGCAUAGAGACCUAAUUAUAUUUGUCAUUUUCUUCUUAUUUCCAAAUAAACAUAAACAAUACACAAUAUAAAAUAACUUUCACUCAUUGUAGUCAUGUAUUUUUUGAGAAAUCUAUGUAUUUCUUGAAAAACUUUUAAAAGGAUUCAAUAUAUUAAUCGAGAGUUAAAACCAUUGGAAGAAUUGUUACAAAAAAUGAUGGAGGAAUAUUGAGUGUUGAAUAAUUAAUAUUUCCUAUAUUAAGACCCGCGCAUUGCGCAGGUAAACAUAUAAUUUUCUUAAAUAUUCUAUAAUAUUAUGUAUACAAUUUGACAAUAAUCUAGAUAAGAUUUUACGAUUUUGUCCUUAGAAAAAUAUAUCAGUGUGUUGAAAUGUUUAUAUGUUGUAUAUAAGUUACAAUUUUGGUCUAUCGAAAUAGGUUUCGUAUAAUGCAAACACUAUUUAAAAAUAUGAGUUUGAGAUAAAAAAAUUUCUAGUACCGAAACAAUUUACUAUUUUGUACAAAAAAAAUAAUUUACUAUUUGAAAAAAGUUAAAAAUAUAUUUUAGUAUAUAACCAUACAAAAAAAAGUUCAAUAUUUUGGAGAACAUACAAAUUUUCCUUAAAGUCCAUAUCAAAAAUGGUAUAAUAAGAAGAAAUAGAAAAAAUGCACCUUAAAACAAUAUAAAUUGAAUCUAAAGAACUUUUUACUUCAAUAAGGAAUUGUUGCCCUAAUUCUAAAUUAUAUCCUUCUAUCUAAUUUAAUUAUUAAUUUUGGUUAUCUAAUAAGUGACUUGAGAUAGAUUUGUAUAUUUUAUAGAUCUCACAAAAAAUAACUAUUUUUAUUAAAAGAUGAUAUUAUGUAAUAUUCAAUUUGAAAAAAUUAAAUAAUUGUAGAUACUAAAAAUGUGGAAUAGGUCUAUAUGAUAGAUAUAAAGUAUUUACUAUUCUUCAUCUGAAGAAAUCUUAGAGAGUUAAGUGUUACAUUCUUUAACUCGAUGUGUCUAAAUAUAAGGUGAAAAAAUAGUGUAAUUGUCAUCAUAUAAUAUUGUAUAACUUAUUUAUAUUAUCACUGAAUUUUAAUAAGUGUGCAUUGGUGCUAGAAACUUGUGUAUUGGAAGACACAUAAUAUACAAUGUAAUGAAAUAUAAGCACAAUUUAGACAAUUCUUUUUUAUGUAUUUGGACCAAAUGUCAACAACAACAAUUGACCACAAAUAUAUCAAAACAUAUAAAUAAAGUUAAAAUUCAAAGAUGUAAACUAAAAAAAUGUAAAAAUUGUCACACUUUUUGUUAAUCUAAAAGGAAAAAAGUUUGAAAAACAUGUAAACGAUCAUACAAAAGUUGCUUAGAGACCUAAUCAUAUAUGUCAUUGUCUUCCUAUUUUCAAAUAAACAUAAACAAUAUACGAUAUAAAAUAGCAUUCACUAAUUGUAGUCAUGUAAGAAACCUUUAAAAUGACCCAAUGUAUUAAUUGAUAGUUAAAAUAUUGUUACCAAAAAUAACGGAGGAGCAAUGUGUCAAAUAUUUAAUAUUUAAUAUUUAUUGUAUUGUAUUUUGUAACUCACGACAUAUUAAUAGCUUCACAAAAUAUUAGAUGCUAAAAUAGUAACAGUAAAAUGUGUGUUAAAGUAAAAAAAUAUGCUAUAGCAAAUUGCAAGUGUAGAAUAAUAAGAAGGUUGUAAUAGUGCUUAUUAUAUAUGCCACGUCAUAUUUUUUAAAUGAAGUGGCACAAUAUUUAAUUAUGUAUCGUAAUAAAAGUUGAAAGUCUAAUUUAAUAUAUUAUAAUAGAUAAUAGAUUCACUCGCCAGCCUUCUUAGACAUAAUUAGUCUACUACACUUGAGGGUCAUGUUAGAUGAUCGACAACAAUCUGAUAUCUGCGUUUGUUGAAAGAUGGCAUUCCAAGACAUCGCCAAUGCCAAUAAAAAGUAACCCAUCCAAUGGUAUUUAACAUCCAGAAAACUGCCAAAUAAAAUGCAUCCCAAGCCGAAAUAUCGUCAUUUCACAUGUCAUUUGGUGAAAUGAAGAUUACUUUUGGAUGAUGUUGAACAUCUUCUGGGAUUGCCUAUUAGGGGUGAGUUCUACAAUCCAUCCGACGUAGAUAGAGUAACGACAUGUAAUCUUGUCGUCACUCUAUUAGAAGUGGCCACGAAAGAGAUCUGGGAGGAGACCAAAAAGACUAGAGGUGCGCACUAUAGACUGGAUUGGUUGAAAGAGGUCUUCAGAAGACAGUGUGCAGCAGAGAGAUUUGACUGUGCUGCUAGGGCAUAUCUGUUGAAUUUAGUAGGGAGUACUAUUUUCGAUGAUAAGAGUGAUUACUCUAGUUGAUGCGAAGUACCUUCCUUUAUUCAGAUAUUUAGACGGUACAUAUAAAAAUGCAUGGGGUACUGCUGCACUCGUAGUGUUUUAUGACUACCUCUCAGAUGUCUGCUGUUAUGACACCAAACAACUAGGUGGAUAUAUGAUGCUGCUUUAGGUAUCAUUUAUUUAUUUAAUUUUAAUUAUUAAAUAUUAUGUUAAUUAUGUUAUUUGUAUUAAUUAUUAUUAUUAGUUAUUAAUUGUUUAUUUAUCAUUAUGAACACUAUUGUUAUGUCGGUUAUUUUUUAUGAACACUUUAUUCGCUAUUGUUAUGUCGGUUACUUUUUAUGAACACUUUAUUAAUUAUUAGUAUGUCGGUUACUUUAUGCGUUAUUGUUAUGUCGGUUACUUUAUUAAUUAUUAAUUAUUGUUAUGUCAGUUACUUUAUUAAUUAUUAAUUAUUAAUUAUUGUUAUGUCGAUUACUUUAUUAAUUAUUGUGAUGAAGAAUAAAAUGAAAUAAUUACAAGAUAAAAUCAAUUAAUAAUAUGAACGACAAAAAAUAAAAUUAAUUAAUAACAAGUGAUUUUGUAUCAAUUUUAAAAUAUUAAGGUUCAUCUAAUGACAUUGCAUCUACGGGUUCCAUAAGUGGGUUUUGGGUAACACGUGACAACCGACCUAAUAAAUACCGCUAGUGUUGUAGACGCCCUGUAUAUGCUAUUGCCCAAGAAGUUGCUUCAUCGGUGCGAUAUUGCUUCCAACCUGGUGCAAUGUCUGACAUUGGAGAUUCAUCCUUCAUCUUUAACUAGAAAAAUUAAAUAAAUUAACAAAACAGAAGAAUCUACUUAUCCUAUAUCUCUAAAAAAAAUUCAAAAUGCCAAAAAUAUCUUCAAUUUUUUUUAAGCGCAUCCAGAUUCAGUGAAGUUGUUGAAUUUGUUUUCGAUUGUGUUGAUUAUGGACAGUACCUACAAAACCAAUAAAUACAGAAUGCCAUUACUUAAAAUUGUUGGUAUGACAUCAACUGAGAAGACAUUUGUAGUUGGAUUUGCUUAUUUGGAAUGUGAGAGGGAAGAAAACUUUUGUUGGGCAAUAGAGAAACUAAGAGAUUUGUUUGUUACACAAAAUAAAUUUCCUCAAGUAAUUGUGACAGACAGAGAUCUUGCGUUAAUGAAUGCAGUUGGCAUUGUAUUUCCACAUGCUGUUAAUUUACUUUGUCAAUUUCAUAUUGACAAAAAUGUUGGAGCAAAAUGCAAGCAAUAUGUCUUAAAGGAUAGACAAGAGUCGGUAUUGAAUAUGUGGAAAGACAUUAUGUAUUGUAGUGAUAAAAAAAAAAAGUAUAUCAUGCGCUUGCACAUGUUUGACCAAUCAUGUGUUGAUACUAAAGUGUUUGUUGAUUAUGUGAAAGAAACUUGGUUGACUCCACAUAAGGAAAGAUUUGUUGAAGCAUGGACAAAUCAAGUGAUGCAUUUGGGGAACACAACGACUAACAGGUAUGUAAUGUAAUUUUAUUAUAUAUUGUUGAAUUGUAUUAUAUUUUCCAAUGUGACUGUAAAAUUUUAUUAUAAGGUUGAGUCAACUCACUGGAAACUGAAGUUAAUGUUGGAAAACAGCAUGGGUGAUAUGUGUAAAUGUUGGGAGGCUAUGAACAACAUGAUAAGGUUGCAACAUAAAAAAAUCAGGGACUCGUUUCAAAAAAGUUUUUAUGAUGAAGAGCAUGAACACAAAAAUCCAUUUUAUCAGAGAUUGAAUACAUUUGUAUCAAGAGAAACUCAAAGACAUAUUGGUGAAGAAUACGACAAAGUUGAGUGGGUGGGUACUGACAAAUCUGUAUGUGGGUGCUCUCUCAGAAUGACAUACGGGUUACCUUGUGCUUAUGAAUUGGGACAAUAUAAAUUGAUGGAUGAACCAAUUCCUCUAGAUUCUGUGCAUAUUCAAUGGAGAAAAUUAAGCAUGGAAUGUGAAAUCACCCAAGACACAAAAGAUGGAUCAGAGUUGGAUAUGUCUACUGAGAUGAAUGCCUUAUGGAAUCGCUUUCGAUCACUUGAUGUUCAUAAAAAGUCUACAACUCUGAUGUCAUACCAACAAUUUUAAGUAAUGGCAUUCUGUAUUUAUUGGUUUUGUAGGUACUGUCCAUAAUCAACACAAUCGAAAACAAAUUCAACAACUUCACUGAAUCUGGAUGCGCUUAAAAAAAAUUGAAGAUAUUUUUGACAUUUUAAAUUUUUUUUAGAGAUAUAGAAUAAAUUUUUCCUGAAAGAUUCUCUAACAAUCCACUUAGCCCAUACGACUUUGGGAAUUUACAUACCACAUAUCCACUUAACUUUAGGAUGAAUGAAGUGGUAAUUCAAUGACAUUAUAUUUUUAACAUUUGUUUUCAUAAUCACAUGUAUCAUACACUUUAUUUAUUUAUUUCACAAUCGUGGGACUGAUGGUAUUGAACAUUAAAAAGAAGAUAAGAGGUGAUGUCCUUCAACGUCAUAUUAGUAGCAAAUAAAUUCGUAGAAUCCAUUAACUGUGGUUUAGGGAUGGCAAUUGGUAGAAUUUGGAUAGGGUACUAUAGUACCCGUCUUCAUACUCGCAAUUUUAAAAAAUACUCAUAUUUGUGCCCGUACUUAGGGAUGACAAUGGGUAGUGUUUGGGUAUGGUACUAUAGUACCCGUCUCCAUAUCCGCGAUUUAAAAAAAUACUCAUACACGUAUAUGUACCCACUUGGGUAUCAAAUUUAAUACCCGUACCCUUACCCUCCGGGUACUUAAGUGCCCGUACUCAUACCCGUUAUCCACACUUUAACUAAAAAAAAUCGAUAAAUAAAUAACAUUAUUGUGAUUAAAUUUAAAAAUUAUUCAAAUAUCUUAAAUCCAAUCAUAAAAUAUUAUAAACCAAAAUAUUUUCUAACUCAAAACAUUUCAAAUGAAAACUUGUUAUAAUACAUAUUUAAAUAUCCAUAAUAAUAUUUUGUGAAGUUGCAAGUCAUACGACAAUAUUAUCUGAGAUAAUUGAUACAAAGUUGCAAGUAUAAUUAUAAAGUCACGAUUAAUAAGAUAUAACUAUUAGUUAUAAAAUCACAAUUAUUUACCUAUUUAUCAUAAUCAGAUUCUUAAAAAAUUUGCAAACAUUUAUGUUUCAAUUAUAAAUAUUGUAAUGGUCCAAUGAUAUUAAUAGAUCAAUUAAUUAAACUAAACACUAAUAUAAUAAAUAAAUAAAUAACUAAAUAAAUAAAUAAUAUAUUUAUAUAAGUGCGGGUGCGGGGCGGGUACUAUAGUACCCGUACCCGCACCCAAACCCGCUUAAUUUUGCGGGUAAUUACAUGUCCUCAUUCCCAUGCCCAUUAUGCGGGUUUUUACUCUACCCAUUGUGGGUUUUUUGCGGGUACCCACUGGGUAUGGGUCUAAUUGCCAUCCCUACCCGUACCCUCUUGGUAUCAAUUUUAAUACUCGUACCCUUACCCUCUAGGUACCUAAGUACCCGUACCCAUACCUAUUACUCACACUUUAACUAAAAUAUAUCGAUAAAUAAAUGAUUUAGUUGUGAUUAAAUUUAAAAAUUAUUCAAAUAUUUUAACUCCAAUCAUAAAGUAUUAUAAACCAAAAUAUUUUUUAACUCAAAACAAUUCAACUGAGCACUCGUUACAAUACACAUUCUAAUAUUCAUAAUAAUAAUUUAUGAAGUUGCAAGUUCUACGACAAUAUUAUUCGAGAUCCGUAAAAACAAUUGAUAGGAAGUUGCAAGUAUAAUUAUAAAGUCAUGAUUAAUAAGACAUAACUCUUAGUUAUAAAAUCACAAUUAUUUACAUAUUCAUCAUAAUAAAAUUCUUAAAAAGUUUGCAAACGUUUAUCUUUCAAUUAUAAAUAUUGUAGUGGUCCAAUGAUAUUAAUAGAUGUUAAAAUAUAAAAGAAAACAAUUAAUUAAACUAAACACUAAUAUAAUAAAUAAGUAAAUAAUAUAUUUAUAUAAGUACGGGUGCAGGGCGGGGUGGGUAUUAUAGUACUUGUACUCAUAUCCGUUUAAUUUUGUAGAUAAUUACUCGUCCUUGUACCCAUACCCAUUAUGCAGGUUUUUACUUUACCCAUUAUGGGUUUUUUUUGCGGGUACCCAUUAGGUCUGAAUCUAUUGUUGUUCAUUGUGUUAAAAUUUCUUUUCUCACCGUCCAUUUAGUUGGGGAUAAACUUUGCAUUAAUUAACAACACUAAAAAAUAGAUAAUGUACAAUAAUUGUGAUCACAUAUCCUAUGAGAGACAUAAAUUAUUAAUGCUACUCUCUUUUUCAGAAUUAUGAUAACCCAUGGUUCAAAUUUAUUUUCAGUUAUAAUUAAUUUCCUCUAGGAAAGAAUCACUGGAAAACAAACUUGGUAAACUUAAACAGUGAAAAAUUAUGCAUGGGAAAACCAAGUUUAUCAAGAUAAGCCUACUUUUCACUGAAACAUUCAAACACAAUACUUUUAAUAUAUGCACGCACAAAUCUUAUCUUGAAAGCUACAAAUUUCAUGAAAACAGGUAAGCAAGUUCUUAAAUGUUCACUACGGAUAAUUCUAACAAGUUUCACACCACACAUCAAAUAUCAUGAAAGGUUAUAUGAGCUUUAGAGGCCACACAUAACCAAACAUGGUUGAUCCACUCAAUUCGGUAAAAGCUAUAAAUCAAUAUUUCCUCUGCAUACAGAACGUGCUAUGAGAGACUAUUCAAGCUUCAAGGAUAAAAACACUAACAAUAAAAGAUAUAGCAGUAAGAGAAUGCAAGGAAAAAUAGUCUAAUAGCCAAGAGGGGCACUUAAAGCAGCCUUAGUUUCUAAAAUUUGUGUCUCCUGUUGAAUGAUACUCUCCAAAACAGCUUCAGAUGAGGUCAAUUGAUGGUUAAAAACAUCCAUUUGUUUAGCUAAAACGUCAAUCUUCCAACGCAUAUCUUCAACAUCCUUGGUAACCUGUUUCUUGGAAUCCAAUAACUUUUGGAAUGCAUCUUGAGAGAAUUGCAAAUCGGGAAACAAAGCGCGCUUUUCGACACCAUCCAACCAAUUCUUAUCAAAAGCAAAUCUGCGCGCAUCUUGUAUUAACUCAACAAAUACAGAGUGGCCUGAACCUAAAACAUCCAACACACUGCGGGUUUGGAGGAAUUUCAAUAGCUCAGCUAGGCAGUGAUAUGCAUAACCCUUGUAUCGGUUACUAAGUGAGGUGUCCCUUAAAAGACAUGAAGGAUGCUUAACAAGAAAAUCAGUCAACAAAGACAAGUUUUGGUAAUCCAAAUGCUUCUUGGAUACCAGUUCCUCAAGCUCCCUUGUGACAAGAGAAGGAGAACUUAAAUCUUUCACUAUUUGAGAAGGGUUCCCUAAUAGAGAAGAAAAAACUAGUUAAGACUCUCCAAAGAAAUAAGACAAAAUGAUUAAAAAUAAAAUUAAGGGAGUAAAUACCUUUAGAAGGCGUGGAAGGAGUCUGAAAUGCAAGAGGCAAAGGAAUGCUAUUGCUUGGAGAGGGCUUAGAUUUUGAAACUCUAAAUUCAUCAUCCUUAGGAAACUGUUCCUCAAUAGUUGAGGUUACUUUCCCAACAGCAGCAUCAUUUAGAGAAACUGAACAAAAGGUGGAAGUGGAGAGAGUUCAACUUCAAAAAUCAAAAGGGUGGUGAGGUAACAUAAGAAAAUAAAAUUUAUCCAAAGAAUCUUCACCUUGAUCAUCAUUAGUCUUGGCAGUUUCCACAGAGUAUCUAACAUCAACAUCUUGUUCCUACACAUAUUCAAAUAAAAAAUGAUAUUAACAUAUCCAAAAUAUUAAUUUUUAUACGAUUAGCCUCACUAUAUUAAAAAUAUAUAUUUAGUUUUAAAAAGCCUAACUUUAUCAUAGAAAGAAAUAAGAAUCAAUUUUUGAAACUAAUAGAACAUGCUUGAAAACUAGGUUACCUUUGAUGAAUUGACUAAUUCUAAAUGAGUUGAGGGUGUUAUUGUGUUGGCAUUUGCUAAUGCAGUUCCUUCUUCAACACACUGCAUAAAAAUUAAAAGGAAGUUUAAGUUGGUAGUAAAAUUCAAUUCCUAAAUUAAAAAGUCAAAGAAAACAUGCAAAAUAGGGGAUAUGCCUUUUUUUUAGGAGAAAUUAAUUGUAUAGGUCCAUUUCUCGUUUCUGAAAUGGUAGACAUAGUUGCAGCAACAGUUUUUUCUGGUGUAUAACCCUCUUGAAUAUUUUGGUCCUCUAUUUCUUUCAAACACUGUGUAGCAGGAAAAUGUAAAUAAGCUGUAGUGUAUUUUUAAGAAGCACUUGAAAUAUAUCUAUUUCUUUUUAGAUUUAUAUGCACAAUAAGGUGAUACUAUAUUUACAUUAUUUCCUUGAGAAGGUUUGGCGGUAGUAUCAAUUUCUCCAAGUGGAUGUUGCUGGUUCAUCAAGCACUGUUGAUUCGUUGAUUGUUCAUUCACCAACUCCUGUAUUAAGAACAGAUGCAUUCAUUACCAAAGUCGUAGACUAUUGAAUGAGUUUAUGGAGAGGAAAUUUGAUAUGGCCUGCAAAUUACUUUUGAAUUUGUUGGUAAUAUUGCUAUUGAUGGUAUCUCUAAAUCCGGAACAUUUUCAACAAAUUCAUGCUCUGCUUCUGGUGUGAGUUUCAUUUGUAUCUGCACAAAAAAUAGUAUGUUUGAUUCAAAGACAUUGUCAUGGUGAUUGUAUUCAGGUGUGAGUAAAUAGAAUGGUAUUGACCUGUGAUGCCGCUUCAACUUCAAUCCCACCAUCAAAAUCUUCAGUGGUUUCUGCACUUGGACUUUCAUUACCACUAUCGCUACCAUCGGACUCUUCUUGUAAUUGUUGAAAUACGUUUUUAUAUGUUUCACGAUCUAUAGCAAAAUAUUAUUAGAUAGUAACUCAUAAGCAUAACAUUUCCUCAGAAAAAAAAAAAAACAGAAACUCAUGAGCACAACAAUAAAAUCAAGAUGUUAACUAGAUGUACAAUUAUUUAUCUGUCUAUGCCUAAUAAUUAAAAUUUUACCACUUUCAUAAAGCAUCUCUAAGUAUAUAGGUAACUCUAUGUGCUCUUGCAUUUUCAAAAACACUUAUUCAUGCACAUUUCUACUUUAGAUAAUUUGUUAUAUUCUUCAACCAACUAGUUUAAUUUUUUAAAUAUUAAAACACAUAUAAUUGGUUGGUAAAGAUAAAACAAAUGACUAUAUGACAUCUUUGACAUUAUCGUAAUAUUUUUUGAAAAAGCUAUAUCUAGAGAGACAUAUAUAUUCUCUAUUAGUACUUGGUAAGAAAUGCAGAGGGACUCCUAAUACUUGGUAAGAAAUGCCGAGGGAAAAAGUUAAAGAAUAAAUUCUCAAGAAAAUUUUGACAAAUGUAUCUAGAAAGUCGGGCAUUAAUCAAGUAAGUCUAUUUCAGAUAAACAAUUAAAAUUACACACACACACAUACACAGACAUAUAUAUUUGUAAAACUCAAACUGUCUACAUUUCGAUCAACUUGAGAAAGUAUAUAUUCAAAUAAAAAGUAACAUAUAUUUGUUUCUAUUGUAAAGAACUUUGUGGUAGUGUACAACUGUCUAUAUACACAUUUAUAAAUAAGAAGAAUUACAAAAAAUAAACACAAUUAUCAAAAUAUUUUAUAAACACGACAUGAUAUGUAGUUAAAAAAUAUUGGGUAUAAUGUGUACCUGUGUUUCGUACGAAAAAUUUAUAAAUUUCAACGAUCUUGUAGGGAGUAGAUUCUAAACACGAAGAGAGUUUUCGACAAUUUCGUACAAAACGAUUUUUUGUUGUCUGAAAUUGAAUUCCUUGGGUGAAGAAGAGGCUUGGUAGUUUGUCAAAUACUAUAAAAUUUAGUUUUGGAAUCUUGACUUUUUGAUCACCUUCACUUUUGAAUAUUUCCUCCAAUUCAAGUGCUUUUGUUAUUACUAGUGCCUCUAGCUCAAGAAACUCUUUACAUAUGGAGACCGGAAAGACAUAUUUCAACUUGCAGCACUUUACUACAACAAGUACUUUUAGCUUUGGGAAGGAAUUCAACAUGUUUUGAUUCUGCAAGUCAUCUUCAAUGAUAUGUUUCAACUCCUUGCAUUCUUCUAUUCUUAGAAAAACUAAUUUUGAUAGGCAUCUUAUAAUAGAAGUGGAGAAAAGUACUUCCAAUAUUUCACAUCGUAUGAUUAUUAUCUUUGUAAGGUUUUUUAGGACAAAAGAAUUUUUGGGUCCCCCAAAAAGGUACUUCAUAUUAUGCAUAUCAGAUAACUGAAUCUUUUGCAACCUUAAGUUCAUUGGUUGCCCAUCCAUUUCAUUGAGACAAAAUAAAUUUUCUGCUUUGAAGUUAUCUACCCUCAGACUUUCCAAAGGAAUAAAAUGUUUCACGCUCAAUUCCUACGAGUAUGUACACAAAAUAAAUUAGUUGUAUCAUAAUAACAUUUCUAAAAUUCAGUAAAAAAGACAUUUUUAAAAUUAAAUAAGAUCUCGUUUAAAAUUAUAUUCUUAAAUUACAGGAAAUUAAACUUCCAUUUUAUAAAAAAAAUUAUACAUUGAAAAUGAUUUGUCAAGUUAGUUAGAUAUUUUCUUGGUUCCAUUAUUUUUAUAUGAAAUGAUGUAAAAAAAUGUAUAUUCAUUAUUAAAAUAGAAAUAUAAACAUUUUCAUAAAAUAGUUAAACACACACAGAAGUUGAAAAAAUAAACAUUUUCAUCAAAGCCUUCAGAACAUCUUGAGGUGAGGCUAUUGAGUGAUUAUGUUAUAAUUUGUUUUCAAAAUAGAAAAUGAGAUAUAUAAAUCCUGGAACCUAAUCAAUUACAAUAAAAAAUGUGACAAGAAUAAUUGACAUAACCACAGAAUACAGGGACAUAUUAUGCCACAAUCUAUUUCCUAGAGAUACAUUCUAAAGUAUCAAGACACUACUAAAAAAACCAAGCACUUAUGAGACUUAGAUCUUGCUUGGAACUACUAUCUUAACACGAUUCACCAACACCGCACAAAUAUUGAUUCUAUUGGAACAAAUGUGACAUUCCCAUUUCAAGUUUUUUCCACUAAGUAGUUAUCAAUUGCAAUCCAAUGACAUUCUUCGAGUAAGAAUGAAAUCAUUGAUUAAUUUGGCAAACAAAAAAUAUAUAAGAAAAAAGAGAUACCUUCAUAAUUGUACUGUCUUGAGAUUUUGAAACCGAAUGAAUAAUGAAAUCACCGAUAGAUUUAAUAUCAACUUGGGAGCAAUUUUUUAGUUCAAGUUCUUUUAAAGAUGGAAAUGUUGGGCGAUAUUGUUUGGGACACAUAGCGACUAAACUUGACAGAUUGCAAAUAUUGAGAUAUUGCAAUGCUGGAAGAUGAAGGUGAAUCUCAGUGUGAUUUUGAUGGUCAUUAGUGUAGUGUCCAAAUAUGUAUUCCAAUUGCAUGCACUUUUGAACGUGGAGCCUUUUCAAUGUAGGGAAGACAUUGCCCCAAUUAUUGCCACUACUGUCGUGAUCUUCGGUGUCUAUCACUAUGUGCUUCAAUUCAUCACAAUUUGUAAUUGUCAAAGUUUCCAACAUUCUUGGAGCAACAGACAGGAUAAACACCGAUUUUAUCUUCAAAAUUUGAAACAGCACAAUGUUUUUAAUAUUGCACAUGAAAUGUGGGUGUACCGAAAGACAUUGAGCACGUUCCCAUAUAUGAAGAUUGUGUGAAUUUGAUACCUGUAAUGUAAUCCCAAUGUAAAGGAACUAAAAAUCAUACUAAACAUUCCUUACGUGUGCAUACAACUUAUAUAAAUGCAAACAUAUAAGUUAUAACGUUUCUAUUAUAAGUCCUAAAGAUAGCCUUACAUUAUCUAUAAUAAAUUUUUCUUUUAUAAGUCCUAAAGAUAGGCUUACAUUAUCUAUAAUAAAUUUAGUGCAUCGAAGUGUUUGGAACACUUCAAAACAUAUUCAACUUAUAAUAGAAAUCUUCAAGUUUGGGAUGCUAAAUAUGCAUAAAAGCUAUCAAAUAAUAUACAAGAUACACAUUAAAAAGAUAAAGUAUCACAAUAAACCCGAAAGGUGAGAGGGUUACCGAUGUGAUUGAGUACUCCUGUGGUUGAUCCUCAGAAACCAAUGGAAUUCUAGUUGUUGACGAACUCCCAAAUUUAUCACCACGACAACAUAAAUAAGGCCAAGAGAAGAUAUUGCAUUUGAUAGGGUCCAAUUGUAUUUGUGCCUUGAAACCAUCUCUGGAAGUGGAACAUGACUCAUUCACAAGCAAAGACAUGGAAUCAUAGCAUUUCGGAAAAAUGUCUAUGAAACUUGGUAAUAGAAAGAGCUCCAUUUGUUUUAGUGACUUAAGUUCAACAUGUUGGUAUUGGCUAAAUAUGUAUUUUAGCCCAUCACAUCUUUUUAUUGAGAUAGCUUCUAGUACUGGAAAAUCUUGAGAAGAGAGGAAGGGAAUUAUCGAUUCUAAUCGGUGACAUCCCUCAAUAUCAAGAACUUUUAGUUUUGGAAAAAUCGAGCCGUGCCUCUUGUUAUCAUUAUCACCAUCGUCUAUUUCUUCUCUUGAUUCCUCCUCUCUUUUAACAUCUAUUAUGUUUUUCAGUUCCUCACAAUCAGUUAUUUCCAAUUUCUCUAGUUGCACCAGAUUCUGAGACAUCAAUGGAAAUAGGGAAACCAACAUUGGACAUUGCUUUAGUAUCAAGGUCUUCAAAUUGCAUAGAUUUAGCUUGCAAUUAAAAAAUCUUUGAAAUUUUUUACACUCCAUCACUGAUAGCCUCUCUAAAUUCUUCAAAGAGUCAAAGGAUAAGGAACCAUUGAAUAGUUCUUCCAAAUUUUCCAUCAUAUCCAAGCUUAGUACAACCAAUUUGGACAAUACAUUUGGUACUUGAGAACCAAUAGUUUUAAUGAGACACUGUAACUGUGAAAUAGAACUCAAAUGAAGCUCAACAAGAUCAUUCAUACCUAGAUCUAUAGGAACAAUCUCAGGCAUGAGAUUUCUCCAUCCCCUCUUAAUUCCUUUUAGUCGAAGAAACUCUGUGGUUCGCAUGAAAUAAUUGAGUGUUGUUUCUGAAAAAUAACAUGCAUCACUAGCACAAAAAUUUACAUAUUUUGAUUGUGAAUAUUUCAUUCUACCCCAGUCGUUAUAAAUAUGAAACUUUUGCAACUCGGGUAUGGUUAUUUCUCGACAAAAAUUGUUAAAACUAUAUUUGAAAUACAACUCUUCCAGUGAUGAGCAUUUUUCAAUGACUUCAAACAGAUUAUUCCUUCGAAUAACACAAGUAUCCAAGUUCAACAAUUUAAAUUUCCCCAAUUUUGUAAUUUCAAAUGGCAAUUCAUUGAUUGUGCAUAAAUUCAAAUCAAGAGUCUCAAGACUUGGUAGCUUUCCCAAAAUAGAGAUGUCACCUAAAUCCACUCCUUCAACCAACAAAGAUCGAAUAUUCGUCAAUGACUGAAUUGAUUGUGGUAAUGAUAGAAAGUUCACUUUGUCAGUACUUUUAAAGUAUAAAACUCGAAGCUUGAAAAUAUUUUCAAAGAAAGAAUUUGGGACUUCGAUACAUUCCUGGCCUUCACUAUCUAUGUCAACAAUUAGAGUCUCAAGUUUGGAGCACUCAAAUUUACAAGAAAACAAAUCCAUGUCCUUCCCUUUACAAAAUAAAUAUUUAAUAUUUAUUUCUUUUUGAACCAAUAACUUUUGAUCUUUUAUAGAUAAAUUUACAUCCCAAAUCUCUUUGUUCGCUAUCCAUUGAGCCGCAUCACGAACUAAAUCAUGCAUUUUGACAUUUUCUUUGUUUUCGGUAUCAACGACAUCCAACAACAAACAAGAAUCUAUGAGUUUAUUUUUGGCAACAACUACUUCGAUUCGGGUAUCAUUGUAGCUGCGAUAAUCCUCCCCAAAAAGGCCCAUUCCAAUGCCAAGUCUAGUUAGAAUUUCAACAGAAAUUAUUUCAUCUUCUGGGAAUACAGAAGAUAAGAGGAGCAAUUCCUUGGCUUUUUUAUUCUUCAUAUAAUCAUAGCUAAACUUCAAACAUUUAUAAAUUCCAACCACAUCGUCAUCAACAUUAGGCAUGGACACAUGCUUCUUCAAGGAUUUCAAGGUCGCAUCCCACUCAUGCUUGCGAUGUUGUUGGCCCUUUAAACUUCUGGCAAUUACUGCAAUUGCAACCGGUAAUCCUUUGCAUUCGCGAGCAAUUUUUUGUCCCUUACUGGUCAAACUAUUUGAAAAACUAUCAUUUAUACCGGCAUAAUUUUUGAACAUGAUCCAUGCAUCUUCAUCAGAUAAGAUCUCCAAUUCAAUUUUCUUAUCACAAUUCAUUGUAUCGAGUAUUCGUUUACUACGUGUGGUUAUAAGAACUCUGCAACCAUUGUGAUUGUCUCGUUUUGGAAUUCCUAUUCUAUCAAAAUCAAGAGAGGUGUCUUGAUCCCACACAUCAUCCAGAAUAAGAAGAAUUUUCUCACCAUUUGUUAAUCUGCUCCUUAGUAUUUUGGGUCGGUCUGAGUUAUUACAGUCUUUGAGUUUCAAUCCUAGAGGUCCAGCAAUAUCAUCUUGAAUCUUUUUUAUAUCAGGAGUAAAUGACACUGUUGUAUCAAUGACAUGAUCGAGUUUUUUAGAUUCCUCUAGUUCUUUACCCACUUUUAUGGCCAAUGUAGUUUUUCCGGUGCCCCCCAUCCCUUGCAAUCCGGUCAUAUAGUUGUUGUCAUCUUUUAGUGCAUCCAAUAGUUCUUUGUAUUUUGACUCUCUGCCUUUAAAUUGAAUGUAAUAGUCCAAUGAAUAAUAACCACAACCUGGAAGAGAUUGAGGAAGAUCAAUAAUUUCAAAUAUUUCUCCCUUUUCUAUUGACGAUUUAAUCUCCUCUGUCAUAUUUACCAACUCCUUUCCCCUUUUAUAUCGCCCUAUGCAAUCAGGACAAAAUCCAAAAAAACAUGUUUGUUUUGUUUUGGUGUUCUCUUGAAUCAGCUUAUCAACUUUCUUUAUCCAAUGAAGAACAUUAGCCCGAAUGACUUUACCUUCACUUACUGCUACUUGAACACGUUGCUCCAUAGUUUUUCUUUCAGCUUCCAACUCAGGUUUUUUUUCUUCGAAUUCCUUAGCAAUGCAUGUGAAGCAAAAUACAAAACGUAAUUCUGCUGUUACCCUAUUUAUCAAUUUUUCCACAUAUGUCUUCCCCAAUUCAGCCAAGCAACUCACCAUCUAAAUCAAUUUCAAUAGAUCAGAGUUAGCCAUAUAUGCUCAACAAAGCUUCAAAUAGACAUUAUUUAAUUUUUAGUCUAAGUUUUACGAGCAACAAAUGUAAAAUGAAAGGUAUGAUGACCAAAAUAAAUAAAUAAAAGAGUAGUUUAAUUAUAGAUGUAGUUGUUUAUGUUGGUUUUUUCUGUUUUGGUAGUUUUGCUGUUAGUUAAGUAAUCACUCCCUCCAUAAUGAAAUAUAAAAAAAAAAAUAAUAAUUUUUCUCCAAUCACUACACUCAUUUAAUAUAACUUUUUAUAUUUCUAACGACCCAAUUUAUUAGUGAUUGAGGAUAAUUUUGACAAUAGACUUAAAUUUUAUUGGGAUUGCAUAGAUUAAAUGAGAUCAACAAUAUUUUGUAAGUAUUUUUGCUUAUAGUUACUUAGCUUGCUGUGUCAAAUUGAUCAUGUAGCCAGAAGCAGUGGAGACUGAAAGUGGAAAUCAUUUUCAAACAGAAAAACUGUAAAAGUAAACAGAAUAAUGUUAACCAACCAUUGAAUAUGAUUUUUACCUUGUUUUCCAACAGAGUUACAAAUAACCGCUUUCAGCAAAUGCUCAAGUCUUGUGAAUAAUCUUCUCCUUUUCUCCAAUCUACGGAGAGAAUAAAGUAAUGUUUAAUGCAAUUGAAGUUCUGUAGUAAUCAAAAGAAGCAGAGACUAAAUAUUUCUAGGUUAAAUCUUUUUGCUUUGUCAACAUUCUCCAUACUCUAAAAAGCUGCCUUUUUUUUUCCUUUCGGAUUCGAACUAAGUAUGGCCAAAAUUAGUUACCUAAAGUAGUUACCAAGUAGAGAGAACUUUUAAUGCUAUGUUUGAUAAUUGAUAUAUAACUACAAUGCUAGUGGAUCGAGAAAAAUAGGACCAAUCUGAGCAACUAGAGAAAUCUUAUGCGAUUAGUCUAAAAAAAUCUUAAUAAGUGGAAAGGGUCUCUCUGAGUUAAAAAAAUAAUUAUAACCGGAGAAAAAAUUUCUUAGAAGCUAGAACAUGGCCAUUCUUAUGCACACAAGUCAAUUUCUCUAAAUAAUUAUAGAAAAAAAAUAAAAUCAAGUUGAGGUAUUAAAACAUUAUGCAAUGUAUGGAACAUCCAACAAUAGAUGUAUGACGACAAAAAUAAAUAAAGAUUAGUUAGUUAGCUACUGAAAAUGAAAAUGGAACACAUACAAAAAAAACUAAAAAAGUAAACAGAAUAUAAGGAAACCAUGAGAUUAUUUUUAACCUGAUUUUGAGUACUUUCAGUGCAUCGUAGCGCAAGUUUUAUGAACAAUCUUCUCCUUUCUUCAAUCUGCAGUAGCUAGCAUCAAGAGAAUAAGGUAGUGAUCGAUGCAAAUUCAAGUUCUGCAGCAAACAAAAGCAGCAGAGACCGUAACACUAUUUCCUUUUUUUUUUUUUUUUGGUUUCUUACUACUCAUGUGUCUUGCACCAACAAUCUGAUGGGGAAAAGUGUGAAUUAUUAAGAAAGUUUACAGCUAGCUAGACAAUAGUUUAAAGGUUGCACUGACAAUCUCAUGGAAAAAUGUGAAUUAUAGAAUAUGUUAAUGUCUUAUUUUCUAUGCAUGUUUUAUUUUAUUUUAUAAAAGUUAAUAAAUUCUCUUAUAAUUACUUUACACAAUUAUUAAGGAACUAUCUCAUUAUGGUUUAAAAAUGAUUUUUAGUUUGAAUUUAUUAUUAAACUUACUUUAUUAUAUAAAUAUAAAUGUAUUUAAACUAACUAAAUAUAAACAACUUUUACCAACUCACUUUUUAUUCUAUGCAAUCUUUGAAGUCAAUCUAACUCAUAGUGACUUAAUGUUAUGUAUAAUUUCUUACAUGAAAUUAUAUCAAUGCGACUAUCUAGGAAAUUCAAGUUGGGAUGACACCGGCCAACAAAUUUCGCUACCCAUCAUAUCCAGAGCAAAAUGGUACAUGGAAAUUCCAGGAAUUAGUGUUUUUCAAUGCUAAGACAAGGUAUAUUUAUACAUCAAUCUUUUUUUCCUCACCCUUCUAAACUCUUUUCCUUCUUUAGUUGUUUUUAAGUGUCACUCUGCUUUGUGUGUCUCAUACUCUUAGUUUUAAUUCAAUGUAGUAUAUGUUGAGUAGCUUACAAAUUGCAGUUGAAAAAGUUUGACUCAAAUAAUUUGAAGCAUGUUUAAAAGAUGUCUGGCAUUGAAUUGGAUUGAGUAAAUUAGAUCAUUUUAAAUUUCAUAACACAAAUCUGCAUGUAUUGUAGAAAUUUUUCAAAUGUUAAGGUUAAUGACUUCGAUCAUUUUAAUCAUCAAUGUUUGUGGUAAUUGUGAAUUUUUUUAAUUUUAAAUCGGAUAUAUUAGAAUUUUUAUUUACAAAUAUUCAAACUAUUACUAAUAUUGGCAGAUGAAUCAUAAUCAUUAAUAUUUUGGUGACAAAAUAUUAAUUGUCAAAUAAUUAUAAGUAUACAAAUAAUUACAAAUGAAUGACUUUAAUUUCAUCUAUUAUAUAUAUUUAAAUAUUUAUAUUUGACUUUUUACUUUGAAUAUUGGUAAAUAUAUAUAAUAUAUAUAAAUAUUUAGAAAUGAUGGACAAAGUCAUGUCUCUUUUAAUUUUAGUCAGUUUUAUUUUACUGAAACUAAUUAAAUUUAAUUUGUUGUUUUAUAGUGUUAAUUGACAUGAAAUUAAAGUAAUUUAUUUGCAAUUAUUUAUAUUUGAUGUAUACUUAUAAUUGUUUGACAAUUAAUAUCUUGUAACCGAAUUGUUAUAAAUUUUAGAUUUUGAUUUUGAAAUCAAAAUGUUAAUGGUUAUGAUUACUAUAUUAAUAUUAAUAAUAGUUUGAAUGUUUGUAAAUUAAAAUUCUAAUGUAUCCGAUUUAAAGUUAAAAAAUAUCACAAUUACCACAAAGAUCGAUUAUUAAAAUGAUCAAGUGAGAGAACAAAAAAUAUUUGUAUUUGAUUUUCUACUUUGAAUAUUGGUAAAUAUAUAUAAUAUAUAAAUAUUUAGAAAUGAUGGACAAAGUCAUUUCUCUUUGAAUUUUGGUCAGUUUUAUUUUACUGAAACUAAUUACAAUUAAUUUGUUAUUUUAUAGUGUUAAUUGAUAUGAGAUUAAAGUAAUUCAUUUGCAAUUAUUUGUAUUUGAUAUAUACUUGUAAUUGUUUAACAAUUAAUAGUUUGUAACUGAAUUGUUAUAAAUUUUAGAUUUCGGUUUAGAAAUCAAAAUAUUAAUGAUUAUGAUUACUAAAUUAGUAUUAUUAAUAGUUAUAAAGUUUGUAAAUCAAAAUUCUAAUAUAUUCGAUUUAAAGUAAAUAAAUUCACAAUUACCACAACGAUCGAUGAGUAAAAUGAUCAAGUCAGAGAACAAACAAUAUUUGUAUUUGAUUUUCUACUUUGAAUAUUGGUAAAUAUAUAUAGUAUAUAUAAAUAUUUAUAAAUUAUUGACAAAAAAAUGUCUCUUUGAAUCUUGAUCAGUUUUAUUAUAUUGAAAUUAAUUUAAUUUAAUUUAUUAUUUUAUAGUGUUAAUUGACAUGAAAUUAAAGUAAUUCAUUUGCAAUUAUUUGUAUUUGAUGUAAUUGUUUGACAAAUAAUAUUUUGUAACUGAAUUGUUAUAAAUUUUGAAUUUUGGUUUUGAAACCAAAAUAUUAAUCAUUAUGAUUACUCUAUUACUAUUAAUAAUAGUUUUAAUUUUUGUAAAUUAAAAUUUUAAUAUAUCCAAUAUAAAAUAAAAAAAUUCACAAUUAUCACAAAGAUUGAUGAUUAAAAUGAUCGAGUGAGAGAAUAAAAAAUAUUUGUAUUUGAUUUUCUACUUCGAAUAUUGGUAAAUAUAUAGUAUAUAAAUAUUUAGAAAUGAUGGACAAAGUCACGACUCUUUGAAUUUUGAUUAGUUUUAUUUUAUUGAAAUUAAUUAAAUUUGAUUUGUUGUUUUCCACUGUUAAUUGGCAUAAAAUUAAAGUAAUUUUUCUGCCAUUUUUUAUAUUUUUUGUAUAAUUGUUUGACAAUUAAUAUUUUGUAACUGAAUUGUUAUAAAUUUUGAAUUUCGGUUUUGAAACCAAAAUAUUAAUGAUUAUAAUUACUCUAUUAAUAUUAAUAAUAGUUUGAAUGUUUGUAAGUUAAAAUUCUAAUAUAUCUGAUUUUAAAAAAAAAUCACAAUUACCACACAGAUCAGUGAUUAAAAUGAUCGAGUGAGAGAAUAAAAAAUAUUUAUAUUUGAUUUUCAAUUUUGAAUAUUGGUAAAUAUAUAUAAUAUAUAAAUAUUUAGAAACGAUGGACAAAGUCAUGUCUUUUGAAUUUUGAUCAGCUUUAUUUUACUAAAAUUAUUUAAAUUAAAUUUAUUGUUUUAUAGUGUUAAUUGACAUGAAAUUAAAGUAAUUCAUUUGCAAUUAUUUGUUUUUUAUGUAUAUUUAUAAUUGUUUGACGAUUAAUAUUUUGUAAUUGUUAUAAAUUUUGGAUUUCGAUUUUGAAACCAAAAUGUUAAUCAUUAUGAUUACUCUAUUAAUGUUAAUAACAAUUUGAAUGUUUGUAAAUUAAAAUUCUAAUAUAUCCGAUUUAAAAUAUAAAAAAUCACAAUUACCACAAAGAUGAAUGAUUAAAAUGAUUUCACUUUAAUCAUUUUUAGUUUCAGCAAUAAAGUAAUAAAUUUUGUAACUCAAUUGUAUAUCAAUUGAGUCUAUCUCUUAAUUUCAAUUAUCAAAUACAUUAUUUCAACAUUUGGCAUAUUCAUCAAUCUCAAUAUUAAUACGUUACUUUAUUUAUUCAAGUCAUUCGUCUAAAUCGGUAUUUCUCUUCUAUGAAUUAUAUCAGUACAAUUGUAUAUAUAUAUAUAUAUAUUAUUGAUAUAAAUACUAAAUUGAGACAUAAAACUUUAUAUUAUCAUUUUUAAAUCCAUUUAAAUUAAAUAAAUAAAAAUAUACCCGCGCAACACGCAGGUUAACAUCUAGUUUUUAAUUUAAAACAAGACUUCUACGAUGUAUGAGACGAUCCUAACUAUGAUUCAAUCCAAUUGUGUUAUUGAAUAACGAAGAAUACACAGUAAUGAAGAAUACCUUCCUUCAAUUGCAAUUGAUUUGGGAGAAAGUAAAUUUACGCGUCCAUAGAUUCGACCAUUUCACCGAUCAACAACAGCUCAAUUGUUACUUGUUGGAAAAAAAUCGGAGAUAAUUAUUUCAAUAAUGCAAGUUUUUUUUUCACCUGUGCAUAAAUCGCCAAGCAGAAAAUACAAUUCCAAUAGCAAUAAUAAUUGACAUAAAAUUAAAUAUGAGACAAACACAAUUUUUUAACGUUGAAAACUUCUCUCAAAUUGAGAGAAUAAAAACCCACCUAGUCCAUGAAAACUUCCACUAUAAUAAUUAAUGAGUAGUUUUCAUAAUAACAAGUAGAGAACAUCAAUAAACAAUAAGAAUCUUAUAACAAUAUUCAACUAAAGUGGAUAUGUCAAAGUAACUCUCAGAAAAGUAAAACUAUAUCCUUUUGUGGUUUGUUACAGCUGUCUUCUUUCUUCACAUCUAAAAUAAGGAUUUCAAAUCUCUUUUAUAUCCUUCACAUGGGCCUAGCUCAAUAAUACCAUAUAUUCUUUUUUUUUUCAAUAAUAACAAUAUUAAUACUAAUAAUAAUAAUAUUAAAAAAAUUGGUGGGUUCCACUUGGGGAGUGAGCCCACCCAACAAAUCUAUCCCUCAUGACUCAAGUGAGAAGGUUCUGCUCAACCAUGUAGGCCUUCUUUCUACAAUAUAUCAUCUUCGACACAAGCAAUGUCUUUGUCAUCAUAUAUAAACCAUUCUCAUCAAUAUGAAUCUUCUCAAUUAAAAAUGACUUCAUUUCCAAUGCAUCUCGUAACCAAUGAUACCGCACUUCAAUAUGCUUCGACUUUGCAUGAAAAGUCGGAUUCUUGCUGAGAUGGAUCGCACUCUAACUGUCACAAAAUAACACAAACUUGUCUUGCUUGAGGCCUAAUUCAUGUAGGAAUUUCUUCAUCCAUAAGAGUUCUUUGGAAGCUUCAGUUGAUGCAAUGUACUCAACUUCAGUAGUGGAUAAAGCGACACACUUUUGUAACCUUGAUUGCCAAGACACAACUCCCCUUGCAAACAUCAUCAUAUACCCAGAAGUAGAUUUUCUAGAAUCACGAUCACCUGUCAUAUUUGCAUUUGUGUAGCCAUCCAACACAAGUUCACCACCUCCAUAGCAUAAACACACUUUGGAUGUGCCUCUAAAGUAUCUGAGAAUCCACUUCACUGCUUUCUAAUGAUCUUUACCAGGAUUAGAGAGAAAUCAACUAACAACCCCAAUUGCAUGAGCCAUAUCUAACCUUGCGCAUACCACAUCAUACAUCAAAUUACCAACUGCAGAUGCAUAAGGAACCUUCUCCAUCUCUUCUAUGUCUUUCUCACUUGUAGGACAUUGAUCAUAAUUCAAUUUAAAAUGAGUAGCAAGUGGCGUACUAACAAGUUUGCAAUUGCUCAUAUUGAAUCUCUCUAAAACUUUCUCAAUGUAAUUGUGUUAAGACAACCACAAUUUAUUAUUCUUCCUGUCACGAGUAAUUCUCAUGCCUAUAAUUUUCUUUGCAGGACCCAAUUCUUUCAUUGCAAAAGACUUGUUCAAAUCUUUCUAGAAAAUAAUGUAUCUAAUAAUGAUACUCUGACAUGUUCAGAACCCAGAAGAAGUAAAAGAGUCAGAAAAGAAAAAGAUUAUGGCCUAGACUUCUUUAUGUUCCUUGUAGAAAGUACAAAUGAUUCCAGUAACAGUUAUGGACCAAUUUGCUACAAUUUAGAGAGUGACCCAAACACAUAUGAAGAGGCAAUAAAGUCUCAAGACUCUUCCUUUUGGAAAGAAGCCAUCCAAGAGGAAAUGAACUCAAUCAUAGGGAAUAAAACUUGGAAAUUAGUAGACCUCCCACCUGGAUCCAAACCAAUAGGUUGUAAAUGGAUCUUUAAGAAGAAAAUGAAAGUUGAUGAUACCAUUGACAAAUUCAAAGCUAGACUUGUUGCCAAAGGAUUUACACAAAAAGAAGGUAUCGACUACUUUGAUACAUAUGCACCUGUUGUAAGAAUUGCAUCCAUAAGGGUGCUUUUGGCACUAGCUUCUAUCUAUAAGUUUGUAAUCCAUCAAAUGGAUGUUAAAACUGCUUUCCUAAACGGAGAGUUAGAUGAAUAGGUGUAUAUGAAACAACCUGAAGGAUUUGUUAUCAAAUGGCAAGAACAUGAAGUGUGUAAAUUAACUAAAUCCUUAUACGGGUUAAAACAAGCACCCAAACAAUGGCAUCAAAAGUUUGAUAAAGUUUUGCUCUCUAAUGGAUACAAAGUAAAUGAAUCUGACAAGUGCAUUUAUAGUAAAUUUCAUAAUGGAAACGGUGUUAUGAUUUUUUUAUAUGUGGAUGAUAUGUUAAUCUUUGGCACCAAUUUAGAUGAGGUAGAAAAAACUAAAACUUUCUUAUCAAAAAAUUUUUAUAUGAAAGAUUUAGGUGAAGCAUAUGUGAUUUUAGGAAUUAAAAUCAUUAGAGAUGGAGUAAAUAUUGGUUUAUCUCAAUCUCAUUAUAUUGAGAAAGUGCUAAAGAAAUUUGAUCAAUUUGAUUGCAAACCUGUUUCUACUCCAUUUGAUCAAAAUGUUAGUUUACAACCACAUAAAGGAUGCCCUGUGGCACAACUAGAUUAUUCAAAGGUAGUCGGAUGCUUGAUGUAUGCCAUGACCUGUACCAGACCUGACAUAGCAUAUGUUGUAGGCAGAUUAAGUCGGUAUACUAGCAAUCCAAGUAAAGAACAUUGGCNNNNNNNNNNNNNNNNNNNNNNNNNNNNNNNNNNNNNNNNNNNNNNNNNNNNNNNNNNNNNNNNNNNNNNNNNNNNNNNNNNNNNNNNNNNNNNNNNNNNNNNNNNNNNNNNNNNNNNNNNNNNNNNNNNNNNNNNNNNNNNNNNNNNNNNNNNNNNNNNNNNNNNNNNNNNNNNNNNNNNNNNNNNNNNNNNNNNNNNNNNNNNNNNNNNNNNNNNNNNNNNNNNNNNNNNNNNNNNNNNNNNNNNNNNNNNNNNNNNNNNNNNNNNNNNNNNNNNNNNNNNNNNNNNNNNNNNNNNNNNNNNNNNNNNNNNNNNNNNNNNNNNNNNNNNNNNNNNNNNNNNNNNNNNNNNNNNNNNNNNNNNNNNNNNNNNNNNNNNNNNNNNNNNNNNNNNNNNNNNNNNNNNNNNNNNNNNNNNNNNNNNNNNNNNNNNNNNNNNNNNNNNNNNNNNNNNNNNNNNNNNNNNNNNNNNNNNNNNNNNNNNNNNNNNNNNNNNNNNNNNNNNNNNNNNNNNNNNNNNNNNNNNNNNNNNNNNNNNNNNNNNNNNNNNNNNNNNNNNNNNNNNNNNNNNNNNNNNNNNNNNNNNNNNNNNNNNNNNNNNNNNNNNNNNNNNNNNNNNNNNNNNNNNNNNNNNNNNNNNNNNNNNNNNNNNNNNNNNNNNNNNNNNNNNNNNNNNNNNNNNNNNNNNNNNNNNNNNNNNNNNNNNNNNNNNNNNNNNNNNNNNNNNNNNNNNNNNNNNNNNNNNNNNNNNNNNNNNNNNNNNNNNNNNNNNNNNNNNNNNNNNNNNNNNNNNNNNNNNNNNNNNNNNNNNNNNNNNNNNNNNNNNNNNNNNNNNNNNNNNNNNNNNNNNNNNNNNNNNNNNNNNNNNNNNNNNNNNNNNNNNNNNNNNNNNNNNNNNNNNNNNNNNNNNNNNNNNNNNNNNNNNNNNNNNNNNNNNNNNNNNNNNNNNNNNNNNNNNNNNNNNNNNNNNNNNNNNNNNNNNNNNNNNNNNNNNNNNNNNNNNNNNNNNNNNNNNNNNNNNNNNNNNNNNNNNNNNNNNNNNNNNNNNNNNNNNNNNNNNNNNNNNNNNNNNNNNNNNNNNNNNNNNNNNNNNNNNNNNNNNNNNNNNNNNNNNNNNNNNNNNNNNNNNNNNNNUCACACUUGAGUAACAUCAAGUCUUGAGUUCAAUGAUAAAAGUACACUAUUAGAAUGAUUGCAAGUACUUGAAUAUAGAUACAUCCCAAAGACUGAAAGUACUUGGACCAUAAGUGUAAAAUUGGAAGGUUGAGUUUUACUCUUAAUAGACAUAUAGCAUAAAUUUGCUGAAAUACAUAUUAUGUGUAUUUAUGAUAUAGUCUACCUACGUGAGGAUGAAGUGAGGCCGCUUCGAAGAGUUAAAGGGCUUGACUCUUAAAUUCUCAUGAAAAGGGUACAUGACACAAGGCCUUAACAAAUGUGUCAUCUUUAUAAUUCUUUCGAUAGUACUGAGAUUUCAUGUGUAAGUUGUGCACACUUGUUCUAAUGAAUAACUGGUUCAAAGCUUGUCUACCAAUCUAUUCGAGAUAAGUGGAACUCAUAGCUUACUAAGUAGUGGUUCAAAUCGUAAGAUACCAUUAUCUGAAAUCAUGAUAUUUCCAAAAUUAAGGGACUAAGUAUAUUUUGAAAAUGGUGGGGGAUUUUGAGAUAUUUCCAAAAUAUUGGAUAAUAUAUGUAUGUAUAAUUGGUGGUAAUUGACAUGAUUUAAUUGUUGGUUCAAUUGGUUGUGUUCUAUAAGUGAAUUUGGUAUGUCCUGUGUUUGAUUCCUACAUGUGUUACAUUUUGCAUAAAUUAAAUUUUGAAAAGGCGCAACUAUUAAAUGAAAAUCGCGAAACAGAGGCAUUGUUUUGCCACCAGAACGUUAUAUGUAUAUAGCCAUUCAUAAACAGUGGCAGAAGAAGAAUUGCAACCCUUUCCCAAGUGACAUUAUUUUUCCUAUAAAUAGGGUCACUUUGGACAUAAUGCAAACAACGAAUUCAAGUAUUUGCCAUCCAUUUUCUUUCACUCAUUCUCAUAUACUAAGUCAACUUAUUCUUUUCUAAUGCAUGAGAAAAGAAUAUGUAACAUUAUUUUGUAACAUACUAUUGAAAGAUAUUCUUGGUGUAAUAGUGCAAAUCAUAUCAAGGUUUCUAAAGUACCCUGAAGGGGUUUCGCUAGUUAUCUCAUUUGCAUCCGAUUGGUGGGGGCGAAUCGAACCUAAAGGCUAGUGUAACAACACGCUUUGGAAUUUGCUACAUAUAAUCUUCAUCAACAACUUCACUAUUAAAGUCUUGCAGCAAUUGUCACCAACACAGAUCCAACAAUUACAAGAUGUGCGCAGAUGUGCUUUUGAUAAGGAUUGGUUGGAUGGUGUCGAAAAACGUGCUUUGACCUCAUCUGAAGCUGUUUUGGAGAGUAUCAUUCAAAAGGAGGCACAAAUUUUAGAAACUAAGGCUGCUUUAAGUGCCCCUCUUGGCUAUUAGGAUAUUUUUCCUUUCAUUCUCUUACGUUAUGUAUAUAAUUGGUAACCAUGCAACUGACUUAGGGUGAUAUGUUAAAUGUGAUUAGGUUGACGGUAUUUUUGAAAAAUGGAAAAUGAAAAAUGAAAAUAACAUGAUCCUCUAAUAAUAUAUAGAAUCCUCCAGAAACAAAUCUUGAAUGCUCAAGGAAACACAAAGCAGAUACAUGUUAUAACACAAUAUUGUUUAUUACCAAAAAUAAUAGAAUAAGUAAUAAUGAGGAUGAUUGGUUUUUAUGGUUUGUGUCCCAUAUUUGCAGCACAUUUGAUGCUAAUAACAGUGGCUGCUUCUUGAGGUAGUAACUUCUGUUUUGAAGUGAAAGCAUACCAAGAAUUAAUUGUGAUAUUAUGCGUUUUAAUUUUGGUAUGGUUUCAUUGUAAUAGACCCAAUUUUGGGGAUUGGAUCUCUUUUUGGGGUGUGUUUGUAAGUUUUUAAUUUUUUUUUUUUUAAUCUUUAGUCUCUUAAAAAUUUUCAUUUUUAUUUUGAUCCCUGAUUUUAAACUAAUUAAUGUGUCUCAUUUAAAUUUCUGAAUGUUUUUUACAGUAAUGUUUAAGGCAUAAUAAGAAAUUUCCAAAUAAAAUUUAGAAUUUUUAACAACUAAGAAAUUAAAUAUGAAUUUUUAAACGUUAAAAGCUUAAAAAUUCAUAUUUAAUUCAUCAUUUGUUAAAAAAUUAUGAAUUUUUGUUAUUUUAUCUCCUUACUAAUUUUAAUUAUAAUUUAUUAAUGCCAGUAAAUUAAAUUUAAAUUUUUAAUUUAUUUUUAUUAACUAAUGCCUUUGAAACAUACAAUAAAAUAUAAUUUGAUUUUACUAAUUCUAUUAAAACAUACAACAAAUAGUUAUUUUGCUCUAAAAUAUUCAAUAAACUUUCAACAGAAGCCAUAAUGAGUUUCUUAACAUUUAUUGUGAUAAACUGCAAAGUAAUUUCAUAAAGAACAAUACUCAUCUUCCUAAAUAAAAUAUUUGAUAAAUACUCCAAAAUAAAUUUCUUCCAUGCUUCCAAGGGAGUUUGCACUAGAGAUUUUGCGGGAAAAAUUCCCUACAUCAUAAACUAUAUUAUCAAAAAUAUCACAAACAAGAUAAUUGAGCCAAGUAAUGUAAAAAAAAGCAAAGCAUCACACCAUUUACAAAAGCACAAUUAUGCUUUUUUGUGGGAGUUUGAUAUCAUGAUGACACAGAAUGAACAUGGACGGUCCUCUCCAGAUCUGAUCGAGCAGCCUUUUCUUUUUCAAUUUCUUAGAAGAAGAAAAAAACAAAGUGCUUGAUUCAGGAACUUGAAAAACAAUAUUCCCCAUAGUUCUAAUAAGAUAGAUGGAAUUUAACAUUGUUACUAGAAAUACCAUAUCCCAUCAAUUUUUUGUUUUCAUUUUCAUACAUUGUUUUAAAUUUCAAUUUCAUAAUUUUCUCAAAUAUUCUACAUCAGGUCACUAACAUAUGUUCUAUCACAAGCACCCACAUCAUGUCUUGAAAGGUACUUGAAAAAGCAAGUUGACUUUUUUUUGUUAAAUUUUUCGAAAAAAACCAUGCAACAUGAAAGCAAAUAUGUUUCUUUAGUUGGUUCAUUCAAUGACCAAAGUAAUAUAAUAAUUGAAAGAUAAGAGGAAUUUAAUGCAGGAAGUUACUGAAAGUUUCAUAUAGCAUUGAUAUCACUUAUUGGUGCAAGUUUGAAGCCAAAAACAGAAACUUUACGUGCAGAUGCAUAAACUUUCGACGGCGUGACACAUUAUUUUCUUUGGUCCUUGUCACCAUUUUGCUUGGGAGCAAAUCAUAUAUUCAUACAUCAUUAAUAAUUUUCCCAAAAUUUAUUUCUUGAAAAAAAGAUAUAAAAAAAAAGUUUCGGAAUUAUUGGCUAUUUCUAUGACCAUAUCCAACUUUUUGCAAUUUUUUUGUCAUAUUAUAUCCUUUGCUCCAAAAAUAUUAUUGGAGAUUUAUGUUGAAUUAGCUCAAUUUUCACACUUAUUUCGAAAUUCAUACAAUCUCUUAAAAAAAUAUUUCAACAGAGAGAAAAAAAGAAAGAGAACAUUGUGAAUGCUAGAAGAAAAAACGAUAUAUUAAUAAACAAAAUCAAAGGAAAUCCAUUGGAAGUUAUAUAACAACCUAUCAAAAAUAUGUAUAUGUAUCACUUUGUAAAUCUUGGACACCCCUUUGCUACCCAUGUAACUUAGGAAAUUUGACGGUUUAAAUUAAUAAUUUCACUUAUAUGUAAUUCACUAUAUUAUUUUUGUUCAACCAAUAUAAGCUAUAAGCUAGUUGCGUCACUUUAUGCUCUUUAUAUGGUAACCAUCAUACAUGAUCAACAUCGAUCUCAUCAACCGAUUUCUAAAGGGACGAAUCAAACUCUUAUCCCUCUUUGGCUUCCAUCAAGUGGAACUGAGGUUUCUCCUCAACAUAUUUAGGAGAAUGUCUACAACAAUCAAGACAUAACGUAGGAAAAUGUUCAGAGACCAAAGUCUACUCAUGCAUAAUAACAUAUCAUUAAUUUAUUAAUAAUAUAAUUUAUCAACAUACUAAGCAACAACUUCAAUAAUGUAAAAGAGUCAAAUACCUAGAAAUCGUUCUGGUGUGAUGCAUAUUGGAUUCGUAGAGAAUAUGAUAUAAGUAUGCAAGAGAAGUAGCCCCACAUGUGUAUCAUCUACAUAAGUCGAGGUCUCGGAAACACUCUAGAUAGAAAACACUGGCAACAAAUACACUUUUGUCGCUGAAAAGGGUGCAACCAACUAGAAAAUUUUGAAACGCCCUCACAACCAUCUUUUAAAGUUGGUCACAACAACGCUGAUUGUAUACAUCAAGUAGCCAACUAAAUCGAACUUAUGUUGUCAGUGUGACAUUAAAUUCAACAUGACUAGGGGCUUCAGUAACUCCAAGCAAUUUGACUAAUAACUCUACAUCCACAUCUUUGUCAAAUAUUAUGACAGUAAAGAAUCCUCGUGUGAUCAGUGACCAAACAUCAUCAAGCGUGAUCAUCAUCUCUCCAAUCGGAAGAUGGAAGUUGUUGAUGUAUUCCACCUAAUGACUUAUAAGCAAAAAAAUUAUCUCAAAUUUUUAUCACUAAUAUAGGCAAAAAUUAACUAUUUUUAUUUGUUUAACACUAGUAUUCCUAAUAUAUCCUUACUUUAAUAAAAAAUAUUUAAUAUUAAUAAUUGAUUGUUCGACAUUCAAAUAGACAAUUUAAUAAAUUUGAAUUAGAUUUUAUAUAAGGAGGUAGUGUUGGGAGGGCUCACUCCCCAAGUAGAACCCACCAAUUUUAUUAUUAUUAUUAUUAUUAUUAUUAUUAUUAUUAUUAAUAUUAAUAUUGUUAUUAUUGAGAAAAAAAAUGAAAAAAAGGAGAAUACAUGGUAUUUCUGGACUAGGUCCAUGUGAAGGAAAUAAAAGGGAUUUUAAAUCCCUAUUUUAGAUGUGAAGAAAGAAGGCAGCUGUAACAAGCCACAAAAGGGAGAAGAGAAAGAAAAGUUUGGUUCUGGUGGUGGUAACAGGUGUCUAGCAAACUUGCUUCGUUUAAUCUAUAAAUUUAGUGUGUUAUUCCUACCACUGAGUUUGUUAUUUUAAUAUACAGUCUGAAUAGUUUUACCUUCUCUAAGAGUUACUUUGACAUACCCACUUUAGUGAAAGGUUGUUAUAAGGUUGUUAUUGUUUAUUGAUGUUCCCUAAUUGUUAUUAGGAAGGUUGUGGUGUACCAAUUAAUUAUUAUAAGGGAAGUUUUACUGGAUUAGGUCCCGUGGUUUUUAUUCUCUCAAUUUGAGAGAAGUUUUCCACAUUAAAAAAUUGUGUGUCUCAUAUUUAAUUUUCUGCCAAUUAUUAUUGCUCUUGGAAUUGUAUUUUUUGUUUAGCCAUUUAUCUGCGUGAUUGGAUCUGAGUGUAUAUCCACAUAUUGAAACUGAAAUAGAUGCUAACAAGAUGUGGAAAAAAUUUAAAAAGUUGUAUGAACAAAAGAAUGUGCAAAAUAAAGCAUUCUGGAUUGGGAAGCUGGUGAAUAUGAAAUACAAAUAUGGGGAUUCAAUGGUAGAGUAUAUGAGUAUUUUUCAGAAUACAGUGAAUCAGUUGACAACCGUAGAAAUUAAAUUAGAUAAUGAGUUGCAAGUGUUGUUAUUGUUGAGUUCCUUGCUUGAUAAUUGGGAAGUCCUUGUUGUGACAUUGACCAAUUCAACUCCAAGUGGAAAAAUGAAAAUGUCAACAGUUAAAGAGAGCAUGUUGAAUGAAGAAGCUCGAAGAAAGGAACGUGGUUUGAUUGGUUCUUCCUAAAAGUCAGAAGCAUUAGUUAUAGAGUCACGAGGGAGAAGUCAAACUAGAAACUUCCAUAGACGCGACAUCUCUAAAAGUCGUAGCAAGUCAAGAAGCAAGUCGAGGAGUAGAAAAGAAAUGGUAUGCUAUCAUUGUGGCAAAGCAGGCCACAUAAAAAGAAAUUGUUGGUUCCUUAAGAGAGAUUAAUCAAGGGAAAGAAAUGAAGACAAAGAAAAGAAAAAUGAUAAAGUUACAACACCAGUUGCAUCUGUU
This 48113-nucleotide long non-coding RNA is filed under the name Cicer arietinum (chickpea). RNAcentral's name for it is "long non-coding RNA (CARI_LNC001397)". Lineage: Eukaryota; Viridiplantae; Streptophyta; Magnoliopsida; Fabales; Fabaceae. The record is from RNAcentral.